RNAcentral lists this long non-coding RNA (51347 nucleotides) under Ananas comosus (pineapple). RNAcentral describes it as "long non-coding RNA (ACOM_LNC003125)". Lineage: Eukaryota; Viridiplantae; Streptophyta; Magnoliopsida; Poales; Bromeliaceae. The record is from RNAcentral.
GACGACAAUGACAGAGACAGAGAUUGCAAAAUCAAAGUGCGUGUUUCACAGAAUUUGCAAGUUGAAGAUGAAGUUUGGAUUAAGAAAGGAUGUUGGAAUAAUAAUCUAAACUUAAUUAAAAUAUAAUUAGAGAUAAGUUUAAAUCUUUUAUUUGAUUAUGAUUAGGAUAUGUAAUUAUCCAAAGUAAAAUUGAAUUUAUCAUUUGUUAUGAUUUGAUGGCUAUAUAUAGUUCGGCAUGGAUUAAUUAGAUGAAAAAAAAAGCUACAGUAGAUAUGGCUACAUGGGUGUUGCCCAAAAUAUAAUUAAUCACCUUUUAUUAAUAAAGUAUUAGUUUAGUUAUCUUCUUCCUCCUCCAAUAUCUCUUCUCCAUAUUAUUUUGUUUUAUUUUUUAUCUUGGGUUAUAUAAUCGAUAUCAACACAAAUACCGGUUCCAACAAUUGGUAUCAGAGCAAAUCACACUUCCAAUAUUUAGCUGCUUAAAUUUUUGAUGAAAAAAUAUAUUUACUAAAUAAUUAGUGUAAAAAAGCAUUACCCCUUUUUUUAUAUAAACUUAACUUCUAAUUAUUUUAUUUAUAUUAUUUCACUCAAAUAACUUUGAAAUUUAUUAAAUCUAAUAGUAAUUCAGUGAAUGAUUUAAUUUCUCCAUUUUUACUAAAUAUAAUUAUGACAAUUGAUGACUAUUAGACAGAACUAUUAACUUUAAUAUAAUCUUUAAUUUAAUUAAAUAAAAAAAGUUAUCUAAAAUAAAUAGAAAUUAUGAAGAUACUAAAUAAGAAAAAUAAAAAUAAACUCAAAGUUGAGAGAGCACUAUAUUAGCGCCUAAAACUUUUUCCAAAAACAAAUUAUUCAUCAUACUUUUAAAAUUAAAUAAAAAUAUAUUUUUAAAAUUUUUUAUAUAUAAAGAACUAUUAUGCAAAUUAUGCGCCAUAGCUCCCCUCAGCCCCCACAUUGCUCCGCCCUAAGAAUAUACAUAUAUUCUUGUUGUAUAGCUAGAGGAUAUGAACGCGCCAGAUAGGCAAAGAUAUUUUCAUCUCGUUGUUGAUGAAUUGCAUGCAGCUCGGAGUUGGUAGCGGAAAUUAUGAUUGUGGGCAUCUUUGGAUCUGGCCCUUGGUUUUAAUAAGCUGUCUGCUGAUGUAAUUAAAUAACUGGCCAAAAAUUGUAACAACAAAAUACAUACAAAAAGUGCCAAAACUUGUAUCUGAAGAUUUUGUACACUGCAGGGCUGGUUUUUGUUCUUAAGCUGUCUUUAGGCUCCUCCUCCCGAAGAAAAUUCUGCAUACUUAAAAAGUAAACUCCAUAUUUUUUUCCAUCUGAACUAUUUAGGAAUUGAAACAGCUGUGAUAACAUUGAUCAUUAAUUGGAUGGAUAAAGUGUAAUAUUUAUAUUCACUUUUGGAUAUACAUGUAACAUUGCUCCUAACCUCCUGAAGCCUAUGUUACAUAGGAAUAAUUUUAUAAGUAUCCUUCUAAACUUAAGAAAUAUUAAGAAUCUAUCAAAAGUUCAAAAUUUUACUAAUAUCAUCUUGUAUCUCGUUAACUGUUGGGGCACGUUUGUUAUAUAUGGUGUUAAAUUAAGGGAGUAAAUUAUUACUUUUGUAAGCUUUCACCUCAUGCUAACUAUGUCUAAGAUGUAAGGCAUAAAAGAUUAGCUAUGUCGAAGAAAGGAAAGGAGAAGGCGAUAGAAUAUCUGGUGGAGAAGAAGACACGAAAAAAGACAGUGGAUCCAUCACUCCGGAGACACUCGACGAAGGUGACGCCACCCCGCUGCCCUGCAUCAGGUGGUUCGGCAGCGGACCUGGAGUCGAGGUUCCAGAGCACCAUUCGGAAUUUGGGCAAUGGAGUUAAAGAGACCACCUACCUUCGAAAACCUGGCUCCGAAGGCUGCUCCUCUUCCAAGAAGGUUCUCUGGGCGGAUACAGCUAGGCUUGCAUUAACUCAGAUGGUUUGCUUCCUACCAAACGACUCCCUCCCUGACCCAGGGUCUUUUACUCCCUCCGAACCACGCCAUAAUGACAAGUGUAGGCCUGAGGUCAAGCCUCGGUCUGAUAGGCAUGCCUGGAGGAAACACACCACUCUUCCUUCAUUUAAGAAGACGUACAAGGAGGCCCUACUCACUCCCGCUUCGCCUCCUUAGCCCCAACCUAACUUUCCAUGGAGCCCUCCACCAUUUCUUUCGCACCUAGGCAGCUUCUCCUUCAAAGGCAGGUGCUUCAGGUGCUUAGGACGAUCUCACUGGGCCUCCCGCUGCUGAAAACCUAUUCGGUGCUUGAGGUGCUUCAAAUUAGGACAUAAAGCUCAAUACUGCAGGAAUCGUCUGCCGAUGAACGUCUACCGAGCCAUGCGCGACCAUCGUGCCUACCUUAGCGCUUUUGUCUCCCUUUUCGAUGACUUCUUCGCCUGUCAAAAUCGCUGCCACAACGCCAUUCUGAUCGAUGUGGUGCCCCCGGCGAACCUCGGACAUUUCCCCAAGGAAACUAUCGGCAACGGGCUCGCGAGUCGUUUCGGCGGGUUCCCAACCGAUUUCCACGUUGCUCGAAACAGUGAAAGAGACUUUGUGGUCUUUCUGCCAGAAUGGGUGCCGAGUAAACAUCUCCUUCGCAGGGAAGUACUUAGUCUGGGGGACCUCAGACUACGCUGCUUCCCAUGGAACCCCUACUACGGUGCACGACACCCACCGCUGUCCUACAAUGUUUGGAUCCGACUGGUCAGUCUACCCUACGAGUACUAGUCUUCCCAGACCGUGGCGGCCCUCGUCGGCGGCUUCAGCAGGUUCAUUCGGGCGGACGAUUUCAGCGUCUGCAUGGCUGACCUAUCUGGCUUAUGGUGCCUUAUCGCCGUGAAUCACCGCUUUGACAUUCCUGAGAAUUUAGAGAUUACCUUUGGUGAUUUGUCACUCUCAGUGCUUAUCCAGCUGGAAAGAUGGGCACGCCAUGAGGAUGACGGGCAUGGUAACCCCACCAACGAGCGGACGGAUCAGCAUGACCCACUCGCAAGGUCACCCGAACUUCACCGUCGCUCCGCUGGAACAGUCAAAAGGAGACGCUCGUCGGUUGGCGGCUCUUCCAGCUCUGAUGCGUCCUGGAACUCAUCUGAAAUUCGCGACAGAAGACGCGCAGCUCUCUCCUCUGAUUGCUCAGAUCAACGAAAUCAAUCCGCCCCCCUUGGUCACGUGGAAAAAACGAUGGGAGAGCUCUGUCUUCUUCUCUCUGGCGAAUGGCAGAGCGGGGGGCCGAACGACAAGUUUUUCAAUUUCAAACCUACCUUGUGGUGGACUUGCUAUUUCCGUGCUACCUGACGCCGAGGACGGCCGAAGUACCGGCCUGUCAGGCGGCUACACCCACUUCGUGCUUUCCUUGAAGGCCUUUUGCCCUCCUGCUGCCAUCAAUUCUCCCUUACUUAAGACAGGAAGCUCUGUGUCCAGCCCUCGGCUUUCACACCUAGCUUUGCAACUAGCUAAGGUUGAGCAGAAGGGCUUUUAUGAGUUUUUCAACGUUAGGAACAACUGUUGGAGCAUUUAUUUGGGGAUUUGCUCAUCUUCCUUGGUCCUUUCCCGUUCUUCCUCUGGACUGGAUCCAGCUGCCCUCACGUUCGCAUCUAACCCAUCCAGCUUGUGGUGGACCCUCACUUACUCAAUUCCUAGGCCUGUUAGUUCCGAAAUUGGGCCUGUUCUUCCCGCCCAAUCUCUUUGCGGUGAAUUGGCCCCUCCCGAUCAUUUAGGCCUUGGGCCUACCAACGGUCUGGGCUCUGCUUCUCUCAAGCUAGAUUUUGGAGGAGUACUCCUCUUCACCGCGGAGUCUCCUACACCGUUCGGCGCUUCUCCCUUUGCUACGGAUAUCACCAUCCCUGCCAGUGCUAUGACUAAAACCACCAAUUCUCCUUGUGUUCCGAUGGACCCGCCUAGAUCAAGCGCCCGACUUCACAAUCUGACAAAGGACUCUAUGCUAGGAAAGGCUAUGAGCAAGAAAACGUGUCUUCUCGAGGGAAGGACUACCAGAUCUGGGACCUCAGGGCGCAAGUUGACCAGCAAAAAAGUCAAGAAGAAGAGUCUACUUUGCGAGGUGAAGCUCUAUGACACCGAAGCUAAGGAGCUCCACAAGUUCCUUUGCGCGGAAGCCUAGAUGUCGGGCGACUUUCGUGUUCGUGCAGCCUUUUGUGUGUGUCGUCUUUCACUGAUGUUUAACAUUUUAUGUUGGAAUGUUCGUGCUCUUAACGACCCUGCUAAGCGUCGUUGCGUCAAGUCUGUCGUGCCUAACCUCUUUUCUACUGUGGUUUGUAUCCAAGAAUCUAAAGUGGAUUCCGUGUCCUGUUCUUUCCUCCGCUCUUGUUGCGGAUCAAGCUUCGACAGGUAUCACUUUAUUCCAACGACUAGGGCCUCCAGCAGUUUAAUCACUUGUUGGAGCUCUAAGCUUUUUUCUUGUAAGGAGGUGGUAGUAUGCGAGCACUCGCUCACCCAUAACCUACCUUACCUCACUAGCGGGAAGAUUUUCUUCCUCUCGAACGUUUACGGGCCUCCCACCUGGGAUGGAAAAGAAGACUUCUGUUCUGAACUUCUCUCUCUUAACAGGAUCUGCUCCAGCAAUUGGGUCAUCUGCGGAGAUUUCAACUUCACCAAAAACCAAGCGGAAAGAAAAGGAAACCCUUGGAGUACUAAAGCUAUGGCCAUGUUCUCUGAUCUCAUUAGUAACCUAGCGGUCAUCGAUUUACCCAUAUCUAACCAAAACUUCACUUGGUCGAACAUGCAACGCAGACCCACCCUGGCAAAGCUCGACAGAUUUCUUACCUCAACGGCACGGGACCAAUCUUUUCCUCACAGCAAGGUCAAACUCUCCCUCGGACCACUUCUGACCAUACCCUAAUCGUUCUUUCUACGGGGUCCCAUCCCACAUCACGGACGUUUCGGUUCGAGCAAGUCUGGCUCACAAAGGAGGAUUUUAUCACAAAAGUACCACUUUGGUGGAACGAAGUCAUUCCUAAGAAAUCGGCCAUUCUAACUUUAACUGCUAAGCUCAGGCACUGCAGAGCUAUGAUAAAGGAAUGGUGCAAGACAAAUUUCCAUAGCAUAUCUAAUGCCAAGAGGCUUCUGCGGGAAAAACUUCAAAAAAUUGAUCAUUUAAAGGAACGGACUAACCUACUUCAGGAAACUUUGGAUAAACGGGCUGACCUAAAAUCACAACUUCAACUCAUCUUAAAGGAAGAAAUUCCCUAUAAAACUAGGGUUAAACAGCUCUGGUGCAAGGAAGGCGACAGUAACACUAUAUUUUUCCAUGCGGUGGCCAAUGGACGAAGGCGCAAGAACAUGAUUGAAGUCAUUGAAGACGACUCUGGACGGAAAAUCUUUAAUGAAGAACGUAAGAGACCUUUCUUUUUUCACACUUUUAAACUAUUGAUGGGCUAGGCGGAUGACUGCCUACCGUCUUUUGGAGAUUGGAGCGGCCUAUAUCACUCUAACAAAUUGGCCAACCCCGCUACCCUAACGAGCCAGUUUAAUCGAGAGGAAGUCAAGAUUGCCCCCUUCCAACUAGGCAGUGAUAAGGCCCCCGGACCAGAUGGUUUUCUUCUUAUUUUCUUCCAAACCUUCUGGGAGACGGUCAAGGAAGAUAUAUUCAACGUUUUUAUUGAUCUCUAGGAUGUCGACAACCUAUUUACUGUUCCGACUGACUACUCAUUUGUGUGUCUCAUCCCCAAAAAGGAAGGAGCGUGCAUGGCUAACGACUUUCGGCUGAUCAGUCUCAUUAAUGGAAUUUAAAAAAUCAUCUCAAAAGUCGUUACCAAUAGACUUGCACUUAAUUUGCCGACUAUUAUCUCCUAUUCACAAACAACCUUUCUCAAAGACCGGCUAUUGGCAGACUCUUUCGUCACUACAAGUGAACUAGUCAACUGGUGCUCAAAAUCCGGUAAGGAAUGCGUAACCAUUAAUGUAGACUUUGAAAAAGCCUUUGACAACGUUAGAUAGACCUUCUAUUGUGCGAAAACCUGCUAUUUCUAUGGAAAUUUAUUAUGCGAAACCUGCUAUUUCUAUGGAAGAUCUUCGAAUGGGUCUCAAGCCUCAAGAUUAACAAGAACAAAAUGGAAUUGUACUACUUGGGAUCCAAUCCACGUAAAGCCGACAGACUGGCUAAUAUUUUCGGAUGCAGAGCAGGUAAUCUACCUUUUCGCUAUUUGGGGUUGCCACUUUAUAAUAAGCUACUACGUAAGGAAGAUUGGGCGCUGGUUAUUAAUCGCAUAGAGGCGAGAAUCGAAAGAUGGAUGGCUAAACUUCUCUCCCAAGGAGGAAGACUUAUCCUUGUUAAUUCGGUGCCCACUAAUUUGCCGCUUUUCUAUCUUUCAAUUUUCAAAGCACCACACUGGGUUCUGCACCGGAUAGAGGCCCUGAGAAGAGCCUUCUUCUGGAAAGGGUGUUCCAAAAUUUUCGAUGGGGCAUGCCUCAUCAGCUAGAAAACUAUUUGCAAAAGUAAGAAAGAAGGAGGACUGGGGAUCAAAGAUAUGGAUUCUAUAAAUAUGGCUCUCUUAACCAAAUGGUGGUGGCGCUUCUUCAGGGAACCGCACCUGCUUUGGUGCAAGUUAAUUAGAUCAUUAUACUACACUAGAAGAAGGCUGUUGCACAAGGGCAGGGCCUUCGUACUCUACUCGCAGUGGUGGAAAGGUGUGGUUCGGUGCCGCAAAGUGUUUAAAUGCGGUGUUGCUUACACGCUAAGAGACGGAAGCAAUAUCAGGAUGCGGUUAGACAUUUGGAUUGGUGAAACCCCACUGCGUACUCUGUUUCCAGACAUCUUUACCAAUAUCAGGAACAAGAAGGUCAGAGUAUCACAAUGCUGGACUUCAAACGGAUGGAGAUGGCGCUUCAGCUGCAGAGGCUUCGUGGCGUCUCAAUCCAACGAAAGCCGUAGACAACUCACGCUGCUCCGAGACUUGCUACUCGACUAUAGCCCAAGCAUCAGACCGGACUUGUUUAAAUGGCGGUGGACCUCCAACAAAACGUUCAAAGUCAAAUCUCUUUAUAAUUUCAUCUCCGAUGCAGGACAGAAAGACCCGGUCAACCAAGAAAUAUAGAGAUUAAAAAUUCCUGUCAAAAUCAAAAUCUUCAUUUGGUUGCUCCUUCGAAAGAGAUUGCAUACUGCUGACAGACUGCUCAGCCGAGGCAUCUUCGUGGAGUAGCAUUGCGUCUUUUGUGCUAUUUUCACGGAAAGCUGCGACCACCUAUUCUGUAACUGCGUUUUCGCCUGAUACCUACUUCUCCGUGCGGCGAGUUCUGAUGCACCUGACAAUGCCUCGGGCGACGUCCAAGGUAUUUUGAUCAAUACCUCUAACAUUCCCGACGCCGCAAAGAGAGCAAAAGGUCUAACCCUAUUGGCGGCAAUCUGGUGGAUCGUCUGGACAGAAAGAAACAGCAUUAUCUUCAGAUCGAAUCAUCCUAACGCUACCCAAGCUUUCAAACGUGUCAAAAUCCUGUUGAACGCUUGGAUCGAGCUCCUUUGACUCGUCUACGUCUUGUCUUUCUUUCGCUUACUCCUCCUUUCCCCCUCUCCCCUUUCCUAUUUUUCCUCUUUUCCCUUAAGUUUUUUAUUACUGUUUUAUUACUGUUUUUUUUCUUACUUGUUUUAAGGAGGCCCUAGCUACUUCCACCCUGUACGCUUAGUUUAUUUUGCUUAAUUAAUAAAUGAAACAGGCAGCUCACUACCUCUUUCUCCAAAAAAAAAAAAAAGAAAAAGAUGUAAGGUGAAAUUUUAUAGGAGGGGAAUAUUUUACCAUCCUUUAACCUCCAACAAUGCAAAAUUAUAAAGCUAAGAGAAACUAAGUUACAGUUAAAAGAGGUCAAAGGGAAAAUAUUAAAAAAUAAGAGAAUUUUAAAUCUUCUUACAUCAUUCUUUUAUUUUCUCUGCGCCCUUACUUUUUUCUCAUUUUCUUUCUCUUCACUUUCUCUCUCACACUUUCUCUCUCCUUUCUUUCUCUUUCUUUAUUUUUUUCUCUACUUUCUCUCUAAUCUCUCCCUUCGCUUUAGCUCCUUUCACCUUCUCUCGUUAUCCCUUUAUCUCUCAUCACAUUCUUUCCUCUUAUUUAAAUUUCUCUCUCAUCACUUUCUCUCUCAUCCCUUUCUUUUUCAUUUCUCUUUUUUGUAUUCUCUAUUCACUUCUCUCUCCUCCCCUUUUCUCAUUUUCUCUUUUAUCUCUCCUUACUUUCAUUUUCUUUCUUCUCUCUCUCCUCAUUUUCAUUCAUGAUACAACCAAAUAUCAUUGAAGAAAAACUGUUUAUAGGAGUAAUGUUUACUCUAUAAAAUAUUACAGAAAGAAUAAUUAACCCCUUAAUAUUUAACCUCAUAGUAAACUGGCCCUUGGAGUUGUCUUUGCUAUCACCUCUUUUUAGCUUUUACCAAAUUUUCUGCAAUAUAAUAACAUUUCUAUGUGUAAUUAUUGAUGGAUAAAAUUGUAUGAAAAUGCCUCAACUAUAGGUCGUUUUGAAAUAGACCCUUUAUUUAUUCUUUACGACCCCUUAAACUUUUGGUUUUUUUUAUUUUUCUUUUGUACUUAGCAAAAAAUUUUUGAUUAAAAUCUCUCCCUUUAAAUUUUUAAUAAAUAUUUUUACUUUACUUGCAAAAAAUCACUCGAUGGCAAAAAAGAAAUUUAAAGCCGAGAGGUUGUAAAAUACAAAACAAAGAGUUAAAACAAAACAAAAAGAGUUAAAAGUUAGAGUUAAAGUUGAAGGGGGUCUUUCAGAAUGACUUACAAGCGAACGGCUCUUCAUACAUUUUACGUUAUUAUUGAAAAUUGGAUUUAAUUGAAGGACUUUUGCACCAAUAGGUUAUACGUGAAAUACUCCACUACCAAAAAUUUUAACAAUCAAAAUAUAUAUCUUAUGUGCGAUAUAUAUAUAUGAGUUAUUCAAAUUAAAUUCCAAAGUAGUUGAAUCUUCAAAAAUUGAAUACAAAUAUCGACAGAUAUAUGCCAGGAUUGGCUAUUUAUAUUUUAAUAACCAAAGAGAUAAUGAGACUUAAUUGUUAUACGUAGUAAAUUAUAUAUAGACCUUUCAUAGAAGAAUUUUACAAGUAAAUUUGAAUUAAUUAAUAUAUAGCUCAAAUUUUAAAGACCUACCAUAAAAGAAUUUCUAAAUUGAGUCUGGCUGCUAUAUAGCACGGAGGCCUCCAUACUACCAAAUUGUUUUCAAUGAUAUUGCUUCCAAAUCGAUGAUCAACUCUGUAAGACUUCAUUUACACUAUUGAAAGUAUUUGAAAACUAAAUUUCAGAAAUUUUCGACAUCAUUUAUCUAUCAAACGAGCAAUCUAAAAAUGAAUGGCUGAAAAUAAAAAUCUCGUAAAAAUGAUGAUAAAGACUUGAUAUUAAGAUUAGAUGUACUAAUCUUACUGUAAAUAGUGAAAAAAAUUUCUAUAAAAAUUUCAUCAUAUUUAGAUUGUUUUAUACUGUUAAAUUCACAAACGCAUCACAUCAACCAUUAAAAUUGUCAAUUUUGAGAUCUUUCGAUCACUAGCCAAAUAAGGUCGAAAAAUUAUAAAAUUUAACUUUUAAAUAUUUUUAAUAGUGUAGAUCAAGUUUAAUGAAGCCGAUCGUCUAUUUGAAAACUACAUAAUUGAAAAUAACUUGAUAACACGAAAGCCUCCAUACUACCGAUAGUUUAGCAACCUAGCUCUCUUAAAUUUUAAGCUUGUUAAAUUAGUACCAUGAGUAACAAUGAUAUUUAAAAAAACAUUGAUAACUCUUCCGACAGAUUAUUAACCAAUAAAGAAGAUUAAUGAUUAUUUUUGAUUUUUUGAGUGACGUUACUGAUGUAGUAUAUAUUAAUAAUUCCACCUCGAUCUCAAACUUUUUUUUUUCAGCUCUCAAACUUUUUGCCACCACUUUUUUUAUGCACAUAAGGAGUUUUGAAUCACUCUGAGGAUGCUAUUUGGCGCAAUUUUGUUAUUUGUUUGCUACCUGAAACUGAUAUGGACACAAAAUGCGGGACAUAAAAUAUGACAUGAUUUGGACACGACGAUUCAACAACUUUUAAAAAUAUAGACUAAAAACACUACUGUCACACUUCGAGGCCGAUUUUAAAAGCCAUUUUAUAAUGAAUACUAUUUUAGAAAUCAGAGUUGUAGAACAUGUUAUUUAUUUUUUGGCCAAUUUGCAUAAAAAAUUCACUUAUUUUCGGCUUUUGCAAAAUCGGGCCUCCUUUUUCAUUUUUGCAGAUUCGGUCCGAAUUUUCAGCAAACUGACCAAAAUACCCUUAUUACUUUUUCUCUCUCCUCUUUCUCUCUCCUCUUCGUUUCUCUCGUUCUUUCUUUUUUUCUCUCGCCGAAAAAAGUAGUGAAGGCAGAGGCGAAGGCGGAAACAGUUUGCCUCGCCUCUCACCCUCAUGCUCUCGCCCUCACCCUUGCCCUCGCCCAUGCAUCCCCCACCUUCCUCGCCUCCGAUCCCGUCGAGGCCGCGCCGCGACUUUUUUUUUUUUUUUUGCUUUUUUCUUUUCUUUUCUUCUCCGACUCUCCUCCACCGUCUCCGACGACGACGUCUCUCUCGCCCUUCCCCGCACUUCUCGUCCCUCCCUUUCCCUCCUCUCCGCCUUCGACAACGAUGCAUCUUCGCCGGCGCCGACGUCGACACCGUGGAGAUCACUGCGGUGCUACAGCCUCGAAGCAGGGGGUCCUUAGCGGCGUUGUCGCCGGCGCCGUAGCCGUUGGCAGAGUGGGGCGACAAAAAAAAUAUAAACGAAUCAAGAAAAAAAGAAUAAAGAUACAAAAUUAUAGAAAAAGAAGGAUGAAGAUGAAAUUACAUCGUUAACUGUAAAAAAAAAUUAUAAGUUGCAUUACUUAAGAUGUAAACUGCAGCUUUAAGAUGAAAAUUACACUCUUUAAACGAAAAUUACACUCUUUGAAAGAUAUUUACAUUGUUUUUCCUCUUAUUGCACUCUUUCAGAUGUAAACUGCAUCCAUUAAGAUGAAAAUUAUACUCUUUAAACGAAAGUUGCACUAUUUCUCCUCUUAUUGCACCAUUUCUCCUCUUGUUACACUGUUUUUUAUCUUAAACUGCACCCCUUUAAGAGAUAUUUAUACUGUUUUUUCUCUUGUUGCAUUGUUUCUCCUCUUAUUGCACUAUUUCUCCUCUUAUUACACUGUUUUUAUCUUAAACUGCACCCUUUAAGAGGAGAAACAGUGUAACAAGAGGAGAAAUAGUGCAACAAGAAGAGAAACAGUGCAACAAGAGGAGAAAUAAUAUAAAUAUCUCUUAAAUGAGUGCAGUUUAAGAUAAAAAAUAGUGUAAGAAGAGGAAAAAUGGUGCAACAAGAGGAGAAACGGUGCAACUUUCGUUUAAAGAGUGUAACUUUCAUCUUAAUGGAUAUAGUUUACAUCUGAAAGAGUACAAUAAGAAGAGAAACGGUGUAAAUAUCUCCCAAAAGUGUAAUUUUCAUCUUAAAGCUGCAGUUUCCAUCUUAAGUAGUGCAACUUGUAAUUUUUUUUGCAAUUAACGAUGCAAUUUUAUAUUCAUCCUUUUUUGUAUAUAAUUUUUUAUCUUUUUUUUUUUCUGUUUCUUCUAUAAAUUUUUUUUUGUCAUCCUCUUUGCCAACAGCCACGGCGCCGAUGACGACGCCGCUAAGGACUCUCCCGCUCCGAGCCUGCAGAGCCGCAGUGACCUCCACGGUGUCGGUGUCGGCGCCGGCGAAAAUGCAUCGUCGUCGGAGGCGGUAGAGAAGGAGGGAGAGGGAGAGACGAGAAGGGCGGGGAAGGGCGAGAGAGACGUCGUCGUCGGAGACGGUGGAGGAGAGUCGGAGAAGAAAAGAAAAGAAAAAAGCAAAAAAAAAAGAGUCGCGGCGCGGCCUUGACGGGGUCGGAGGCGAGGAAGGUCGGGGUGCGUGGGCGAGGGCAAGGGCGAGGGCGAGAGCAUGAGGGUGAGAGGCGAGGCUGACCGUUUCGGCCUCCGCCUCUGCCUUUGCUACUUUUUUCAACGAGAAAAAAAAGAACGAGAAAAACGAAGAGGAGAGAGAAAGAGAAAAGAGAAAAAAUAAUAAGGGUAUUUUGGUCAGUUUGCUGAAAAAGCGGACCGAAUCUGCAAAAACGAAAAAUGUGGCCCGGUUUUGCAAAAGCCCAAAAUAUUUUUUAUGCAAAUUGGCCUUUUUUAAAAAAAAAAAAAAUUCCAUAUGGCCCACGUGGCGUACAAACCCACCACAAAUACAAAGAUUCCCUGUUUACACAGACAGAGUCUUCUUUGUAUUUGCACAGCGUACCCAACGAUAACAACAAUAGAAUCACAACCACAACCUACACUUACCAAUCCACAACUAAUUCAUGCAAUACAUUUCCAUACAGCCAGUGAUUCUUAGAGAUGAUGCAUACCACUAAACACUACUUAGAUGCUGGAUGAUGUGAUGCACAAUACAACAAUCAUUCUAUUUAAAAGUAUUCUCCACCCGAAAGCUUUGUUUUUAAACUCUACUUAAUUAUCCAUAAAAACCACUCGAAAAUCUUUUAAAACUGUUUCCCACUCGGAAACUUUAUUUUUGAAAACCGACUACCUCGAGGGGUAGAAAACCACAUUGCAUGAAUACAUAAAUCUAAACCAAAUAUUCAUAAAGCUCCGAUUGCAUGCAUAAUAGAAAAAUAUCAACUCAUACAAGUUCACGAAGAUUCAAACAGCAAUAGUGAUCAUCUAACUGAACCAUUCAUUAUUUAAAUUACUAAAUGCGUAAACGAAAAGUAACCAGGGUGACGAUCGCUACUGAAGCCUAGCUAGGACGUCCUCCCGUCACACCACGAACCAACUCCAUGCCUGAGCCACCUGGAGAAAUAGGGGGUGAGAAAUCAUAAUCAAGAUUUUCUAGUGGGUACGACAGAGCCACGAAGGCAAAUCAUAUUCACUGGAAAAUAAAGGAGAUAGAACAAACUGAUAUAUGUGUAAGGAUAUGAAGAACAACUACAGUAGCUAUAACAACAGAUAUAAUAGAGUAAACAAUAAAAACUGCUACUGUAAGGAUUACAAUCAUGAGUAUGUCUCAAGGUAAUCAAACCAAAACUGUACCCAAUCUGGUGCCUGCCAUAUUGGUCCGCAAACCUCAAGUGUUGCCUGUCAUAGAGCAAACACUGACUUGAUUCAUGCGUUCACUGAUGACCUAUCCGGAUACGUACACCCCCUGGUCGGUGGCCAAACAACUGGUGUCUAGAAUACACAGUGCUGUGACCAAAUCAUGCUAAUAUGCUCAAUGCGAAAAUCGCUAGAAAACCAGUGUCUUUGCCGAAGCCAGAUGCAAGGGCGUACAACGCCGAACCAUGAUUAAUUAGAUCAAAACACACGACAAAUGAGUCGGCGUGUUGCCUGUACCCAAGGUCCACAGAUAUACAAUAUAUGCAAGCCUGCUCUACGUGUCUAAUAACAACUGUCACCAUGCAACUAUCAAGAUAUAGAUGAACAAACGAUAAAAAAAAGCAACCGACAUAUAGAGACUGAAAUACUGAUAUACAAGAGCAAUAGCAAGGGAGAGGAAAGUGAAACAAUCUCACCGACUACUAGCUCGAAGCACCAACCGUUACUAAUGUCGCGCCUGUCUCCAAACUAUAGACGAUCGUCAAUCGGACUAACGAAGGUCCACCGGGUCAGUAUCCAACCCAAAAAUCCAAAAUACCUAACUCAUGAACCCCACACAAAUCUUCGAAAUCGGUUUCCUAAAACCGAUCACCAUAACGAGCCGAAAGUCUCGAAAAUCACAUCGGGAUGCCGUUGGGACCCCCGAAAUGUCCCGAAACUCACUGACUCGUGCCACGAGUCACCCGCUGCCACAAAAUACAUCUUUUUUGAUGUCUUGGCAGCAAACUCAAGGUUACACAACCAAACAAUCAUCGCCGGAUAAUUGUUCGGAUUCGGGUUCCCAGAAGUGUCAAUUUCGACACCGGAACCUACCGUCGCUCACCCGUCAUCUCCGAACUCAUGAUAUAACGAUGGUGACCACCCGACAAGGCUCGGCGACAAAACUCAGGGCAAUCAAACACCGUCGGAUGAAAUCUGAGCCGAAAUUGCGUUCCGCCGAUGAAUUUCGCUAAAAAAAGCACUAAAAUCGAUAUUCGAUUUCUACGAAGGGCUUCGGACCUUGGACGAUCAGUCCAGAGGUCACCUCCCACACAUACAUACUGCCCACAGUAGCCACAAGAUGCAAAAUUGCAUAAAACUUCCAACUAUUGCAUAAAAUUACAUCAUUUUAUGUAAAUAAUGAGAUUUUGUGUGUAGUACACUGAACUUUGGCAAAUUGCAAAGUUCGAGUGUUGGAAUAGUAAUUAGAACUAUUCUACGACUUUUGAAGGAUUAUGAGAGGUUUUCAGCAAGUUACGGAAGCAAGCAAGUGGCCGGAAGCGGAAAAGUGCAUCGCAAUUGCACUAUCAACUCUAAUACGUUGAACUCCGUCAAUUGCAAAAUUCGAAUGUGGGGUUGGUAUCUGGAGCUAGCCCACAUCUUUUUAAGAGUGAAAGUGAGGUCCUUGACUGGUUAUAAGAGUGAACAAAGAGCCGGAAGAUUAAAAGUGCAUUGCUCUGUAGACGUGGAAAAGUGCGAAGUUCAAAUGUGAUAUUUUGAAUUUGACUGAUUAUGAAGUCUGAUGAGCGGGAAUGAUAAGUGGAAUUAUCCUACAUUCUCUAAAGGGUUUAGAGAGGUUUGUGGACAAGUAGGAGAGUGAUUAGACUACGGGAAGCGAGGAAGUGCAUUGCUACUGCCAUCUUGCACAUUCUGCAUUGUUGUACCGGUACAGGGUGAGGGUUGUACCGGUACAAGCAGCAGCAGAAGCAGCAACUGCGUGGCAGCUAGGCCAAUUUGGUCUUUUUCCACUCCAUCCCUAUCCUUAUCCUCCCAGCCCACCCCCAGCAGUUCACCAAAGGGUGCUGGAGUCGAGAGGUGAGGGUUUUGCAUCUCCUUUGCUCUCUCUCUCUCUAGAGUUUUCUCUCUCUAAGAUGAAAGCAAGGAAUUGAGCUUGUUUCUCUUUGCUCUAUGAGGUUUGCUGUAGGAGAGGGCCUGAAUCAGCUAUGAAGGAGUAAAAAGGAGGCUUAGGGAGAGGUAUUUCGUGACCCUAGCUUUGUAAGCAGCUGGGUUGAGGUUUGAGGGGGUAAGUUAUUCAAUUUGUUCCUCAAGUUUUGAGCUAGGGGAGUGAAGCUGAUGUGUUUUGGUUCCUUAAUUACCAGCAGGUUUGGAAAAUAGUCUCAACAGCUAGAGAGGGGUAAUUUUGCUGUAAUUCCUCUAUUUAUACCCAGGGGAAAACUAAAGUGAAGCUGUGAGAAGGUAAUUGAUUGAUUAAAUACAUGAUUGAUGCUAUAUGAAGUAUAAAAUAAGGUAAUAAUGCUGAUUUUGGGGGUCUAUGUUCUCGACAGUUAGAGUAUUCAUUCUGAGUUGAAUAAUACGCUUUCGUGAACUGAUUGUGAAUAUACUUCAAUUUGAGGGAAGUGCAAUUUCAAGUUGAGAAUCUAUGCAAGUAAAUUUCAGCAUAUACUAAGUGUAUAAGUGAAGUAGUGAUGCAGUUUUGGAAUCUAAUUACAGCAGGUUAGUGACUUUUGAAGCAGAAUUGGGAGGUGAUUCUUCAAUCCUGAGCUAAGAAAAAACUGAAAUUGAAAUUUGAAAAAGGUAAUUAGCUAGUUAAUUACCUUAUGUUGAUACUAUAUUAAGUAUAAUAGUAGAGUAAUGGUGCUGUUUCAGUAUAUAUUUUCAGCAGCCUUGGAAUUCCUUUUGAGCUGAAGGUUGGGACUUUUGUGAGCUGGUUUUGAGGUGUUUCAACCAGGGGUUGAACUGAACCAAAUCAGUUAGAAGGUAAAUUGCUUACCAACUCAUUAGUUGAUAAGAUUAGUUGUACCUCUAAUGCAGUUUUCAUGCAAUUACCGCAUACUUGCAGCAGGUUCACAGUGAACCAUUUGAUCUUAUUUGACUAAGUUUUGGAAGCUUUCGAAGGCUGAAUUUGAUACUCCAAUCUGAAUCAAAACGAGGAAUUAAGCAUUGAUACUGUACUAAGUAAGAUUCUAGCCUAAAUUGUGUGAAUGUGUGAGAUUUACAUGUGGGGAUUAAAGUUAAGUUCCUAACUGAUUUUAGAAUCAUUGUUAGGACACUCAGAGGCUUCGGAUUACCUUCAUUGGCAGAAUCGACGCGAGCUUCGGUAAUUAGGUGGGUCGGACCUUCCCGAAAUGGGUGAAUUCCCUUUAUGUCCCCUUUGACAAUAUGAGUUAAAGUGAUUGCAUAUUUAUGUGAAUGUAUGUUUAUAUGAUGAAAUUGAGAUAUGUAUCUAGAUGGAUAUCACAUCAAGCAUAGUAGUAUUUCUUUGUAGUAGAGAAAGAAUUAUGGAAUUGCUUAUUCUACUUAAAUCUCUUGUUUUAUUAAUCAGCAUCCAUGAUAUGAAUAACCUGUACAAAUAAGUUAAGCAUGAUUUCAUUCAAGAGGGAGGAAUUGUUAACCAUGAAAGUAUCAUUUGGUCUUAUGGGACCACAAAGGAAGGUUAUAUUUGAAGUGCCAGUAUACAAUUUCAUGUUGCUGACAUGGUGUCAGAACUGUUAGUUUAUCUCGUAUAAGGAACUUAUUUAUAUAUCCAUAUAGAAUCAUACAAGAGUAUCUUAGAUCAUGUUUUACAUACUUGUGUUGACAAGUUGGUUGCUGUUUUUCAUACUUAUAUUGUUAGAACUAGCAUAAACUUGAGUUCUGAACAUGAUCUAGUUAAGUAAUAAGAAGUUGGCAUUAUGAUAUAACUUGAAUGUUUUUCUAUUGAAUGUAAUCUAAUAAGACCUAGAAAGGAAUAUGAGGAUUUGCUUGCAUGAUCAAGUAGAAAUAACUGUACAUUUCCUGUUUACCUCAAGUAGUAAAGGAUUAGAAAUAACUGUACAUUUCCUGUUUACCUCAAGUAGUAAAGGAUUAUCCUGAACUAUAGAUUAUGUGCCACGAGUCGUUGGACAUAACCUUAGAAGACCACUACCCUUACAUAUAGGGAGUAGUGAGAGGACUUAAUGUGAGUAUGUGUGGAUAUAGCCCAUUAUCAAAUAAAGGUUAACUGUCAAGUUAUACUGGUUAUGGAAAGAAUUAUAUCAACAGAUAGUUGAUAGUGGUUUAUGAUUUAGUACUACUACGUCGACCCUGCGUCGAAUUGAGAUUCCAUGUUAGAGACAUGAUGAAACUGGGACACUUAUACUAUGGAUUACAGCUUGCAUGCCCUUGUGCUCAUUCGGACACGCUUGUGGGGGUCGCGCACCCCAGGCCAGCGCUCCGGAGUGGCUUCGCGACAGAUUGCUCGCCUAUAUACGAUUUGAGCGCCGAAGUGGAUUGCCGUGGGUAGUGUUGACUUCCACGGGGCCAUUAGGCACGGCGCGGCUAUGACUUUACUGUGGAUAAGUCUAUUGUGAAUUGGGUUAUCAUGAGCUAUCUUAACCUUAACUGGACAUAGUAGUAAGGUUACUUUAUGUCAUUGAUUAACUAAACCUAGUGAUGAGCAUACUAAAAGAUUAAUAUCCGGUUUAGUUGGUAGUAUAGUGACAGUUUGUUUACACUCUUGCUAGUGUAGGAAUUAAUUACAUGAUAUCAUCAACUCGUUUAGUGACAGUAAGAAUAUUUCACCUAUAACUAACGUAUAUCUAGUUAAACUGUCAAUUAGCAGGAUUGGGAAAACUGGUCACAGUGAACUAGUACAUUGAACUUAUUAAUAAGCAUAUUUUGAGAUGAAUGUCAUGUUUGAUUUAUUUCAAUACCUGUUGCAUUUACUUGCUUAUCUAAUAUCGUUUACUCAUGCCACAGUUGACCUAGUGGUGUACUUCGCCACUCUCGGCGGCUUACCCACUGGGAAUUAUUGUUUUAUAGUUUUCACACCCUAUUUGUUGUUGUUUUUACAGAGCCUUCCAUUGCGGGAAAGGCUAGGGUUCCCGACGAGAAGUCAGUGGCUAGCUAGAGCCUUCUUGACGUUAAAUAGACAACCCUUACAACUUUAUACAGUUUCCUCCAGUAUUGUAUAUUAAGCCAUGUAAAUUGUGCUUUAGCCUUAUCUGUUGUAAUAGAGUUUUGAGUUGUAUAAGUUUAAACUUUUAAUUGUGCUCUGAUUACCUAGUGCAGUUAAGAUGUGGAUACUAUUUUGUUGAUUCUUGUUGUAGACGCCUAGUGUACAAUGUGGUAGUUUGGUGUACACGGCGGGUCUGUACACAUUACUGUGAGCUUUCGCUGAAGUCCAAGGCGUGACAUUGUGGCUCGUUACCGCAAACUGAGGGCUCCCGAGGUCAGCCGAGAGAUGUACUGACAGAUCUUGACGUGUCGGAGGCCGUGCUCAUGAUCCGGAGCAUAGCGGCUCACUGUGGGGCGCACGAGAGCGAUCCGAAAUUCAACGAACUACGCGCACUCAGGGUAAACCACACUGAAAAUGCAGAUUCGGAAUCCGUUGAUCAUAAUUGAGGUGAGCACUAUGAUCAGCACUGACGAGCGAUCACCGUGCUUACCUCCGGAGGCAUCGGGACAUCCUCAGAUCGCCAGAAAAGCAAGAACAACCGAGAACACCUCAAAAACUGCAAUGCGUAGAGUUACCGGGCAGGGGGAAGCUAGGGCACGUCCGACAACAGUUCGAUAGCCGGCAUGCCGGCUGCAGGCGGAUAAAGCCGACCGGGGGAGGCCGAGGCUCGCGCUGGCCGGCGGCGGGAGGCGGCGCGGCAGCACUAGAGCAACCCGAGCCCGCAUGGGCCGAGCUAAGGCUUGGGGUUCCGCGCUGGCCUCGGCGGUGGCCAGGGCACCUCGGGGCAGCGGUGAGGGAUCGCUUGAGGCCAGAGGGAGGUAGCAAGGGCGGUUCCGGGCGGCGGCGGUGCCGGGGAAGGGGUGCAAGGUCAGCUCGGCCCGAGCCCACCCACGGAGACGCAGGGCUGCUGCAGCGUGGCGGCGGUACUCGGUGACAGCGGCAGUCGGCGGGGGAAGGUUGCCAGGGAGGCAGCAAAAGCGGCCCUAGUUGGCGGCGGUGCUAGGGAAGAGAGCUGGGGCUUCCUUAGCCCGAGCUCUCCCUGGAUGGCAGUAGGCUGCUGAGGUCGCGGCGACCGCGCUCGAAAACGAUGGCAGUCGGUAAGGGAAGUCGACAGAGGUCCGAUGAAGUACCAGAAGAGGGCCCAAGGGUGGGGGAUCACCCUACCAAGCUCUUGAGUAGAGAGGGAGAGGAUUUGGUGGCAAUGUGAGAGGGAGAGAAGGAGAUUGAGGCUGAGGAGGUGGUUGGCCAGACGGAGCUCGGUCAACGGCAGCCGAAAGGCACGCGGCGCACGAGGGUGACGGAGGAGAGGCGGCUAGGGGUGUCAGCUGGAGCUAGGGUUAGGGUUUGCACCAUGAAAACCCUAGGUAGCCUUAUAUACAUGAAUGUAUAAUUACGCAUAAGUCCACCGAAACUCAGUAUUUUCAACUGAGUCCCUCAGAGCGCAAGUAAAACGCGCGGACACACCCCAUAUUCGAUUUCACACAAAACGGUACAUAAAAUGUAGGGCUUUUCACAAAAUUUUUGUUUCGUGACUUAUGACCUCUCCUCGAUCCUCGCGUGAUAUCAGGAGAUCCAUCUGGCAAAUUUGUGAGCGGACUGCACCAGAGCGUUCAGCACGACCGAGACAUCAAAUCCAUAAUUUUGUUUUGCCUGGUUUUGUUGCAGAUUCGCGACGAAAACCAUCCUUUCUUCAAUUCAGCGAAACCACACACGUAUAAGAAAAAGUAUAUAAUCUAUAAUUGCCUCCAAAACCUCCAAUGAGCGAAAAAGCGGCCAAAGUCCCUCCCAACUAGUCUUCUCUCGCAGAAAGGUCCCCGCCCGAGGGUCCACACGCAAAACGGAGCAACGUGAAGUUUUAAAAAGUAAGAACAAAAGUCCACUUUGCGAUAAAAUCUAGUUUUCUCAAAAUUCGUGCGUCAAACCUAAAAUCUGUCAAUGCCAUUGGGUCUAGGAUAGUCAAACCAUUGAAAACGAGCUAUUGGAUUACCAUGAACGGAGUUCAAUACACGCCAGAAGCCAUCUCUAUUCAUUGACUUCUCUGAAAACCCGGGUUACUAUUUACUUUAAGUGAAAAGUAAAGAUUGCGUAAAACUCCAUUCUAUCUCGUUUCCUCCCGAAACUUGACGGGUGCUUUUGUAAUUAAAAUACACACAAAAAAUCGUCAACAGAGAGUUUAGCUAUACUGCCAAAUUCUCAGUCCUUACAUCAUCCCCCUUUAAAGAAGUUUCGUCCCCGAAACUUGCUCACAGGUAAGGGUGAUCUGAUGCUAAACGAACCAAAAAAACACAUGCAUGCGAUGCAAGAAAAGAUGCAUUGGUAACGAAAAGCGUUAUAUUUAUGACAUCAAACAAAAGUUAUACCUGCGAUGACAUCAGCUGAUUGAUCUUAAUCCUGGCGUGUCAUUAUGUAGACGCGUCCGCCGGUGGUCUGGUGUGCCCCCUCCUCCUGCCGGGAUGUCGAGGGUUGUCCAGAUGAAGAAUACAUCGUUUUGCCAUGAUCCUGCCAUGGAGCUGCUAGUGUAGAUGCUACAGUAGAUACUGUUCCUGGUCCGUUGGUCCAAAAGCAACCUAAUUGGAAACCUGCUAUAUCGGUCCGUAGACCUCAGGCCUGUGCCACAACUGCUCUAACCUGUAAAUGGCCCUCGCAUAAGCACCCAGGUCUGAAAGCAUAUGACCCUGGCAUAAAGCACCCGGGUCUGAAAUCAUAUAACCCUCACAUAAAGCACCCGGGUCUGAAAGUAUAUGACCCUCGCAUAAAGCACCCAGGUCUCACAGGCUGGCACUCCCAACCACUUUUUCAGAAAAGAACACCCUCUUGCGGUGGCCAAACCGCUGGUGUACGUGAAAUGCGUACGAGCAGUGGCGAUCAAUGCUGAUAUACUCAAUAGUCAACCGUCGGCAACUGGCCGAUAAUCCUACCCCUCAGGGUAUGUCGACCGUAUAGGUCAUCGAACCAUAAGGAACACAAGUACCGACCACUCAGGUCAACUAGGACGGAACAACUCAACACCCUUCCGAAGGUAUGCAAGUACCGACCACUCGAUGUCAACUAACAUAUAUGCACAAGAACCGACCAAUAGGUAACAAGGAUGUCACGUCAUGCAUCAGUAUAAUCCAGAACUAGUCAUCAGCCACUAGCCGACAAUCCUACCCCUCAAGGUAUACCGUCCGUGUAGGUCGCCAAGUAGUCGAACCGACCAAAUAGGUCACAAUAUCAGAUGCAGUGAAUCGACCGAAUAGGUCAUAGAACGAGAUACAAGAACCGACCGACUAGGUCAAAAGGAUGUCACGUCAUGUAUCGGUAUAAUCCAGAACUAGCCGUCAGCCACUAGCCGACAAUCCUACCCCUCAGGGUAUACCGACCGUGUAGGUCGCCAAGUAGUCGAACCGACAAAAUAGGUCACAAUAUCAGAUGUAGUGAACCGACCGAAUAGGUCAGAGGACGAGAUACAAGAACCGACCGAUUAGGUCACCGAUCUCAUAUGUAAUCAUAAACCUGCUCAACUCCUCCUUAUGAUGCUAGACAUGAAAACAACUAAGUAGAGCGCAAAAGGAGUAACAAAGGUGCUAGGCUCAACACGAUAUAUAUAUGCAAAGUAAUAACAAGAGAACAAGGGUAAGAAGAUGUCACCGAGCGUGCACCAUUGUACCGACGUCGGGUCGAAGUACCUAUCUGUACGUAAACGGCACUGGUCUCCCGACUACGGAGGAGUAUCAACCAGACCUACGAAAGGUCCACCGGGUUAGAAUCCAACAAACUUAUACUAACCACUAACUCACAAUCCCCACAUGUAAACCCACGGGAAUCGGUUUCCCAAACCGACUGCCGUAACACGCCGGAAGUCCCGAAAUUCGCACCGGGACUCUGCCGGGACCCACGAACUAUCCCGGAACUCACCGACUCGUGCUACGAGUCACCCGCUGCCACUAAACACAAUUAUUUAUGCGACCAGGCAGCGAACACAUAUCCUCAUAUCAAAACGAUUAUUGUCGAAUAAUCAUUCCGAUCCGGAUUCCAGAAAGUGUCAAUUUCGACACCGGAACCCACCAUCGCUCACCCGUCGUUUUCGAACCCUCAAACGACACGAGUGACCGGCCAACAAGGCUCAGCGACCAUAUAAUUUUUCGUGAGGCACCAUCGGAAGAAUUCCAAACCGAAAUCGUAUUCCAUCUGCGGAUUUCACCGAAAAACGCACCGAAAAUCAACAUUCGAUUUUCGGAAAGGCCUGGGGCCUUGGAUAACUAGUCUAGAGGUCACCCGAUGCCCGUACACACUGCCAACAGCAACCAUGGAAUAUAAAUUUGCAUAAAAGCCCCUACGACUACACAAAAUCACACAAGUUUGUGUGAUUUUAAGGGUUUUACGGCCUGACAGCGCAAACUGAGGACUUUCUAGCCUGGCCAAGACACCCGUUGACAGUUCUCGAUGUGCCGGAGGCCGUGCUCACAAUUUGGCGCACGGCCGGCCACUGUGGCGAGCGCGGGAGCAAUGCGAAGUUCAGCGAAAUAGCGCGCACAGCCUAAACAAUGCUUAGCACGCAAACCGAGGCUUCGCUGAUCCCAAUGGAGGUGAGCACGAUGUUCUGCACAGAUCAGGAAUCAUCGUGCUCACAUACAGGAGUGUCGAGGUGUCCUCGGAUUGCCGAAAAAGCGAUCGGAAAACAGUUUGUGCGGUUCGCGGCUUAGUGUCGCUAACAGUUUUUGGAUGUUUAAAGCUAAGGGACUCCUAGUGAGUCGGUUCAAGGUUGAUCUGAUUUCGAAUGUCGACUUGCAAUGUCGAUGCUUCGACGAUUUUGGUUGUGAACUUUUGGUUCAGUAAAGAUGUAUCAGGUGGCUUGAUACUUCGAUGUGUCGGGCUUCCAACUUCUUGUUGAUAGUAGAUCUUCGAGUAUUUUGCUUUUCUUUUGAUAAGUACAUUAGUUGCAGAUAAUAUACUGUCAAAAGUUGGGACGAAAUACCUUUCCCCAUUUGGGACUUUUGGAUUGGGUCGAUCACAACUAAAAGGUUUGCGUUGGUUGGUAGUCUCGGCUUUUUGCCGGGCGGUUCGGAAUCAUGAUUGUUGAGUGGCUUGAGCAUGGUUAUUGGCUUUGAUUAUCGCGGUAGGUGUUAGCGUAUAAGGUUUGCAACUUGGCUAUCGUGCAAACUUUGGAAAUGGAUGCUUGUCCGGUUAUUUGGUGACAGGUGCGCUUGGGUCUCAAUGAGACAGGUGUUUGGUGUUGCUGGGAACAUCGAUCACUAGGGUCCCUUUGGGACGGCAGUGAUAGGGUCUCGUAGAGACAAGUGUUGGGCAUCACCGAUGGUUAUUAUCGCAUAUUGCGAUUGGCAACCCUGUGCGUCAAGUGAUGGACUUGCAUGGAGCAUAUGUUGGUUUGAUUGUACCGCAUUAAGUUAUUGAGGAGACAAAAUUGUCGAGCUCAAUUGGUAAUAUCAACCUUGGACCUUUUGGUCAGGCGGAAGGUGAAGCCUUGGACCUAGGAGUGUCGAAUACCGUCGGUGGGUUUUCGAUACUAAGGGUUUGACUUCGACUCUUUGUAUAUCUAACUGGUGGGAGACUGGUCUCCGAGGUGAGUGUUUUUUACUCAGGUUUUAGGGCAACGAUACGCAUUCGCUCGUAGUGAGCUGGUUGACGUUGUUGGCUAAUCGGAGUGUGUCGUUUCGACCUACAAAAAUAUACUCCAGACUUAUGGUGUUGUCCCGCACUUUUCUAUGUGAACUUUCGACGUGGACCUAGAGCUUCUGAGUGAUGAAUUAUUAUCUCAGAUUUGGCAGAUUUGGGAUCAGAUAAUCCUGGUUGCGGAACUGUUUUGUCCGCAGGUUAUAGGAUGGUCUUGAUCCCGGUGAGCCUUGGUCCAUAGAUUUUGGGUUGGUAUGUUUUCUCUCGCCUCGUCCGAGUGGAACAGCAGUUUUAUUCUCCCCUCCUUCGGAGAUUGAUCUUUCCAGAUUCAAGGCUAGAAAUUUGAAUUGGGAGUAGCAUCGAUACUCAAAGGAGAAACCACAAUAGCGGUUUGGUAUCCGAAUUUCAUUACGGUAGGUGUGUAGUCAAGUUUCAGGGACGAAACUUUUCUUUAAGGGGGGGUAAUGUAAGGACUGAGAAUUUGAUUGUGUAGUUAAACUUUUUGUUGACUAUGUUUUUGUGUGUAACUUAAUUACAUAAGCACUCAUCAAGUUUCAGGAGAAAAGAGUUAAGAUGGAGAAGUUACGCGACCUUUAGUAAUAACUUAAGUGAAUAAUAACUCGGGUUUUCCGGAAAGGCCAAUCAGUGGAGAUGGCUUCUGGUGCGUAUUGGACUUCGUUCAUAGUGAUCCAAUAGCUCGUUUUCAAUGGUUCGACCAUCCUGGACCCAAUGGCACUAACGGAUUUGGAUUUUAAUACACAGUUUGUCAUAUACUGAAUCUUGGGCCUACUGGCAAGUUCAAGGGUUGGAAUAGUUAUGGGAACUCUUCUAUAACUUUUGAAAGAUUGUUGAGAGGCUUCGACAAAUUACUGGAGCAAGCAGAUAACUGGAAAUGAAAAAGUGCAACGCAAAUGCACUAUUCAAUUGCAAUGCUCUGAAUUUGGUCAAUUGCGAAGUUCGAGUGUGGGGAAUGAUAAGUGGAACUACCCUACACCUUCUAAAGGGCUUAGAUAAAUUUUUGGACAAGUUAGAGAAGUGAUUGAAUGGCCGGAAGCAAGAAAGUGUAUUUCUGGCGAAAUUCUGCAUUGUGUACCGGUGCAGCCAUCAUCGUGUACCGGUACACAAUGGCAGAUACGUGGCAGCAAGACUAAUUUGGUAAUUUCACUUCUUAUACCUAUCCUUAUCACCCCAGCACGACUCCUACAGCCUUGUGGAGGAUGCUAGAGCUCUGAGAAGUGGUUUUGCAUCUAUCUCAUUUUCUCUCUCUAGGAUUUCUCUCUCUUUGAGUAGAAAUCGCCGAUUUGCACCUAUUUCUCACCGUUCUUCGCGCUAGCGGGUUUGCGGGCUUUGGAGCAGCUACGAGUGGGUGGAAAGGACUCGCAGGGGAGGUAUUUUCGCAGCUUCAACUCACAGGGAAGCUGAGUUGAAGUCUAGUGAGGUAAACUAACUAGUUUUCUCUCUAGAUUGAGAUUAGUGAUAGCUUUUGAUGUUGGUUCUUGAUUCUUGCUACCAGCUGGAAUGAGAUGGGUUAAAGCAGCAAUUGAGGAGUGGUUUUGGGAUUAUUGUUUGCAGCGGGUUUCCAAAUCGAUUUAAGCUGAGUUUGUGACCUUGGGAGCUGGUUUAGAAGGUGUUCCAACUAGGGGUAAGUGGAAUUUUCAGUUAGAAAACUGAUUAAGUGAGAUUCCGACUAUACUAUCUAGUAUAAAAGUGUUUUGAUGUCGUUUUGGCGAUUGUUCGCAGCGAGGUUGCGACGAACCUUCGGAUUAUCUCCGGCUGCUAUUGGAGAGCCUUUAGAGGUCAAACUUGAGGUACUAAAGUGAACCAAAUCAGGGAUUCGAGCUACAACCUUGUAUAAGGUGAGGAUUUUGCCGAUUUGGACGUUGUGGCACUACUUUCAAUGUAGUUUUGAGACUUAAUUAACAACAGGUUUAGUGAUUACUUUGAGCUGAAUAUUGAGACUCUUUUGAGCGGGAUCAAGCCGAGUUGAAGUGCUUCAACCUGGAUGGAAGUAAAGGUUUAGUUUUAGACUAAACUCAUUCAUGAUAUUGGUAGCUUGCAUAAGCAAUUUAACUUGAUGUCAUUCAAGAGGAUAUAACGGUAAAAUCGUGAAUAUACUAUUUAGCUCAGUUGAAUAGCAAAGAGAAUGAUGCACUUAGGAUUAAACUAUGCAAUUCUAUAUGGCAAGUAUAAUGGCUAAACUCUGAAUAUAUCACGUAAAGGCAUUUGUUUGAGUAUGCAUUCAUAAUUGUAGAAUGAAUGGCAUAGAGAUCAUGUGAAGAGUAUUCUAUCGCGCAUCUUAUCUACUUGUAUCAACCAGUUAAUUCCUGCUUUCACAUGACAGAUUAGUCUGAAUUUCAUGUUGUGAUAUAUGAUCUAGUUGAAUAACUAGAAUUGAGUAUGACUGCAUAACUUGAAGGUUAUACAACUGAUUAUAAUCUAGUAAAUAACUAGAUUUGGAUAUGAUAACAUGCUUGUAUAGUCAAGUAGAUGUAAUUGCAUAGUAUUUGUUUACUCCAGAUAGUGGAGGUUUACAUUGAACUACAGGAUAUGUGCCAUGAGUCUUUGAAUACGACUUCAGUAAACCACUUUCCUUAUGUGUAAGGAGUAGUGAGAAGACUAUGAGUGAGUGUCCAAGUGUAGCCUGAUAGAAUCACUAGUAUGAGGUAAACUUAACUUCUUAUGUUAUCCUAGCUGUUGGUAGAAUUAUGUCAACAAGUUGUUGAUGGUGGCUUACGUUUGGGUACUACCGUGUCGACCUUGGGUCAAGUCGAGAUUCCAUGUCAGAGACGUGAUGACGUUGUGAUAUUUUGUACUAUGGAUUACGGCUUGCAUGCCAUUGUGCUUUUUCGCGCAUACUUGUGGGGGUCACGCCCCCCAAGCCAGCGCUCUGGUGUGGCUUAGCGACAGAUUGCUCGCUUAUGUAUGAAGUGAGCGCCAAAAUGGAUUGCCAUGGGUAGUGUUAACUCCCACGGGGCCAUUAGGCGCGACACGGGCCAGACAGCCUUCGGGUGCGUCUUCAGGCCAAAUAGCCUUCGGGUGGGUCUUAAGGCCAAACAACCUUCGGGUGGGUCUCCAUGACAGACAGCCUUCGGGUGGGUCUUACAAGAUUCAAACUUUGAGCAGUUAAAUAACGAGUGAACUUAUUGAGGAACAAGCUAGACAGUUGACAUCUUGACGUUAGUGACAUAGUGACUGUGUGUUACACUUUUACGGGUGUAGGAAGAUAUCAUCAGUUAUUUUGUAAUGAUGAACAAUCUGGCAUAUGAUUAGUCAAAUACCUAAUGACAGCAUGUUUCAUUAUUGCUAAUGUAGACCUGAAUUAUCAGUGAUUUCAGUAAACCUGAAUUAUCUCGCAUAUCUUUUAGCAUAUGACUAGUUAAAUUGUUAACUAACAUGAAUGGCAGAAUCUAUCAUGACAAACUAGUACCUACACCUGUGAUAUAUAUAUUUAUUUUUGAGCAAAUAGCAUGAUCGGUUUACUUUCGUACCUGUUGCAUUUAUUUGCUUAUUUAUUGCUAUUUACUCAUGCCACAGUUGACCUAGUGGUGUACUUCGCCACUCUCGGCGGCUUACCCACUGGGAACUAUUGUUUAAUAGUUCUCACGCCCUCUUUGUUGUUUUUUUUACAGAGUCUUCCACAGCGGGAAAGGCUAGGGUUCCUGGCGAGGGGUCAGCGGCUAGCUAAAGCCUUCUGGACGUUUACUAGACAACCUUUAUCAGUUUAUGUAGUUUAGUUCAGUGAUGUAUAAUAUGAUCAUGUAAAUUGUACUUUGUUCUUAUCUGUUGUAAUAAGGUUUUGGGUUGUAUAAGUUAAACUUUUAGGCUUUGCUCUGAUUACCUGGUUAGAAUCGAAUGCUUUUACUAUAUUGAUUGUAGACGCCUGGUAUAUACUUGAAUUAUGGUGUACACGGCGGGUUUGUGCACGCGACUGGUGAGCUUCAGCUGAAAUCCAGGGCGUGACACAAUUUUUAGGGAAAAAGGGGGUUUAUUGGAUUUACACAUAUAUAUGUGUGGUUUUUGGAAAAUUGGAGAGGGGAUGGAUUUCGUUGUAAAUCGGCGACCAUAUCAAGCAAAAGAAAAUCAUGAGUUCAAUGCCCCGAUCGUGCUGAACGUGUUGGCGCAGUCCGUUCACAAAUCCGAAGGACGGAUCUCCCGAAAAUUCAAAAUUUUUGCAAAGGUGUUGAAUAUUGGCAAAACGAAAAAUCCGCAAAACACCCUAUAUUUUAUGUACCGUUUUGCGCAAUUUUCGAACGUCGAGGUGCGUACGCGCGAAAAUACACGCACUGCGAGGGUCUCGGCUGAAAAGACCAAACCUUGGGGGACUUAACUGCAAAAAUGCCACCAUGUAUAUACGAGCUAACUAGGGUUUCAUGGAGGAAACCCUAGCCCAGCUAACCACCUCAGGUGAGACCUUCCCAGCCGCUGCACCACCCUCUCCUGCCCUCGCCGCGCGCGUCCCGGCCGCCGCCGCGUCCUUCCGGCUGUCGGAAAACGAGCAUUGCCUCCCUCUCCACCAAACCGCCACUAUCUCAUAUUCCUCUCUACUUGAGAGCUCGGCAGGGUGAUCCCUUACCUUGUGCUCUCCUCCGGCGACUCCCCGAACCUCCGGCGACCUCCCCCGACCGGCCACAGCCGCCCUCCAGCGCUGCGGUCGCCAAGGUUUCUACUUACAGCUGGCUCGGGCUGGUGUGGCCGAGCCUUGCCGCGAUGUUGCCUCGGUUGCCGGCCGCCGUCUCCGCCUCCUUCUCUCGUUGCCAGAGGAUGGUCGUGCCCCUUCCCUGUCUGCUCCGGCCCCGCCAUGGCUAAAGGAACUCGCUAAGCCCUGGCUGAGGCCGUGCGGGCUCGGUUUCUUCUCGCGCCGCCACUGCCGCCGGCCGGCGUGAGCGUCGGCCCUCCCUGACCCGUCGUACUCGUCCGCCGCCGGCACCCCGCCGCCGGAGCUUCCCGUCGGCUGGACCUGGGCCGUGCUCUCCGCGGGUUAUUGCGGCUAGGGCAUCAAUGCCCGUCGCCGCCGCCGCCGCCUUCCAUCGCCAACCGACGCGUGCCCUGACCUUCCUCUGCCAGCUGCACCCUCCUGCCGCCGGCUCACCCACCGCCGAGACGCCGCCGGCCAUGCCAUGGCCCUCUUGCCCGGUGAGCUUUAUUUUAGCCUAUUUUUGCACUGUUUCCUAUUUAGACCUCUGUUCCGGCGACUAGUGGCUGUUCCGAUGCCUCCGGAGGUGAGCACUGAUCGUCGGUCAGUGCUGAUCAUAGUGCUAACCUCAUUUGGGGUCAACGAACCCCGAAUUGGGGAAUUAAACGUGUUUUAGUUUCAGCGUGCUGUGUUCGCUAAACUUUGAGUCGCUCCCGCGCCUCCCACAGUGGACGACCAUGCUCCGAAUCAUGAGCAAGGCCUCCAAAACAUCGAGACCUAUCAGCAUGUGUCACGGCAAGGCUCGAAAGUCCUUGGUUUGCGCUAUCGGGCCAUAAAACCUAAAAUAUCAUAUAAAAUAAUGUGAUGUUAGGUGAUCGCAGGGACUUUUAUGCAAAUCUAUGCUUCGUGGUUCCUGUGGACAGUGUGUGUGGGCAACGGGUGACCUCUGGAUUGGUUGUCCAAGGUCCGAGGCUUUUAUGAAAAUCGAAUAUCAAUUUCCGAUGCGUUUUUUGGCAAAAUCCGCCUACGAAACGCGUUUUCGGUUCGGAUUCCUUCCGACGGUGCCUCACUGUAAAUUGUUUUGUCACUGAGCCUUAUUGUCUGGUCACUCGUGUUGUUUUGAGGGUUCGAAGACGACGGGUGAGCGACAGUGGGUUCCGGUGUCGAAAUUGACACUUCCGGGAACCUGAAUCAGAAUGGUUAUCCGACGAUAAUCGUUUCGAUGUGAGGUUACAUAUUUUUUGCUAGGACAACUUAGUUAUGAUGUUGUGUGUCAGUGAGUGACUCGUGGCCCGAGUCGGUGAGUCCUGGGACACUUCGUGGGUCCCGACGGAGUCCCGGUGCGAUUUUCGGGACUUCCGGCAAGUUACCGUAAUCGAUUUUGGGAAACCGAUUCCCAUGGGUUUACAGGUGGGGAUUAUGAGUUAGUGGUUUGUAUUCGUGGGUUGAAUUCUAAUCCGAUGGACUCUUCGUAGGUCCGGUUGAUUAUUUUCGCAAUUUUGAGACAAGUGCUACGUAUGUACAUGUGGGUACUUCGACCCGAAGUCGGUACAGUGGUGCACGCUCGGUGCCAUCCUUUCUACCCUUCUCCUACUAUUACCUUGCAUAUAUUAUGUUGAGCUUUGCACCCUUAUUAUUUCCUUAUCGCUCUAUUUGGUUAGUUUACCUAUAUAGCAUUAUGAGUAGAAGUAGAGUAGGUUUAUGACUACAUAUGAUAUCUGUGACCUAGUCGGUCGGUUCUUAUAUCUCGUACUAUGACCUAUUCGGUCGGUUCUCUGCAUCUGAUAUUGUGACCUACUUGAUCGGUUCGAUUACUUGGCAACCUACACGGUCGGUAUACUCUGAGGGGUAGGAUUGUAAGCUAGAGGCUGACGGCUAGUUCUGGAUUAUACCGAUGCAUGACGUGACAUCCUUGUGACCUAUUGGUCGAUUCUUGUGCAUAUAUGUUAGUUGACAUUGAGUGGUCGGUACUUGCAUACCUUCGGAAGGAUGUCGAGUUGUUCUAUCUUAGUUGACCUGAGUGGUUGGUAGUUGUGUUCCUUACUGUUCAAUGACCUAUUGGUCGAUGUGUCCCGAGGGGCGGUGAUUGUUGGCUAGUUGCCAAUGGUUGGCUAUUGAGCAUAUCAGUAUUGAUCGCCACUGCUCAUACGCAUUUCACGAAUACCAACGGUUUGGCCACCACAAGGGGGUAUUCUUUUCCGUAAAAGUGGUUGGGAGUGCCAGCCUAUGAGACUCGGGUGCUUUAUGCGAGAGUUAUAUGCUUUCAGACCCGGGUGCUUUACACGAGGGUUAUAUGCUUUCAGACCCGGGUGCUUUAUGCGAGGGUUAUAUGCUUUCAGACCCGAGUACUUUAUGCGAGGGUCAUUUUACAGGUUAGAGCAGUUGUGGCACAGGCCUGAGAUGUGCGGACCAAUAUGGCAGGAUUUUGAUUGGGUUACUUUUGGACUUGUCGUCCGGUUGAUGCAUGCAUACAAUAGCGAUAAUGAUUCAUACAUAUAUCUCGUUUCCUUGUUUAUUAUUGCUACUGUAUUACCAUUAUCUGUACUUUUGUUUAUCCUCCUUGACUGGUGAGUACCCCUCGCCCUCGUCGGCUUGCGUUACCCACUGAGAGAGGAGACAUGUGCACAUGUUCUCACCCCCCACCCCCUUCAGGUGAUGUCGCAGGUCCGAGUCGGGACGGUGCGUGAAGAGCGUUCCUAGCGAUCGAUUAGAGCUCCUGACCUGGUGGACUUUGGCUAAAUCUCUUAACUUGCCUUUUCAAAAUAUAACUUAGGCAUACUAGUUCAGUUGGCUUACUUUAUUUGAAUUCAUGUGAUUUUUGAAAUGUAAUAAAGUACUUAUGGAUUUCCUCAUGAGAUGAAAACGGUUUUCUACCCCUCGUGAUACCUUGUUUUAAGAGGAAAAGCUUUCCAUGUGGAAAACAGUUUUUAAAAGAGUUUUUCUAGUUUUCGCGACUCUUAGUGUUUCAAAAUGUGUUUCCGGGUAGGAAAUUUUUUAAACUAAUAGAUGUGGAAUUACUAUUAUCUGUGAUGAAAUAAAGUGAAAAUUGUGAUGUGGUUUUUGUAUGUGGAUGCUCAUUUAGUUGUGGUUGUAUACUGUACUUGUGCGACGCCGUGCAAAUAUAGGGGAGACUCUGUCCGUGUGAACAGUGGAUUCCCUGUAUUUGUGGCGGAUCUGACAUACUCUGGGGUCGAGGUUUUCGAAAAAAAAAAAAAAAUUGUGCACUUCCACAUUGCUUCUUUAAUCAAAUAGGGACCCCAGGGUGUGACAGAAAUGUUCAGAAAAAAAUAUUCUUCAUAGUUUUCAAUAUACUUUAAAAUUACUAAAACUUUUAAAGUAAAUGUAUUCUACUCUCCACAAAAUAACUUAUAGAAAUAUAAGGAUCUAAAAUUUAGGGUUUAAAUUGUAAAAGAUUAUAAUAUAUCUACCCCCCACAUCGCGCAGGUCACUUGUAACGACCCAGCCCACGAGCAACAAUAACUCGUUGGGCCCAAACACCAGCUCAAAAUGCUUAAGCCCAAUUAUUAUUAGUAGCGUGUAGGCCUCAUAUAAAUCGGUCGAAAUCAAUAUCCCACCCGAUGUGGGACUAUUGGGGGCGUUAUAAACUCCCGAUGUUUAGACCCUGACGUCCUCGUCGGGUCCAAACCAGAUCAUAGACAGACAGACCAGGACCAUAAUUACCAGGCGAUGUGAGAUUCUAAAGGUGGCUCCUACGGGUUCAAGAGGUGGCUCCCACCAAACUCGUUGGUGUAGCACUUUGCCCCGCAUAGCACUUAGCUCUCACACUUCCGGCUAGUAUUCGGCUCUGAUACUAAUUGCAAUGACCUGACCCGCUAGCAAUAAAAACUCGUUAGGCCAAACCACCGACCCAAAAUGCUUAAACCCCGUUAUUAUUACUAGUGUCUAAGUCUCUUAUAUACCCAAUCACAUUCCCAUGCAUAUCCGAUGUGGGAUUAUUGGGGUGUGGGGUGUGACAUCACUACACUAGUAUUAGAUGUAUUCAAUAAUAUUAAAGAAUUAUAUAGGCUAAAUUACACUUUUGGUCCUCAAACUACGAGGAACAUGACACUUUAGUCCUCAAAUUUAAUUUGUUCCAAUUUCUAGUUCAAACUAUAAAAUGCAUAACACUUUAGUUUUUGAACUUUUUUAAUUGUUAUAAUCAAGUUUUGCAACAUUGUUUUUUUUUUGGAAUAAAUAUUGAUGAAUUACUAAUAUGAAAGAAUGUCAUGCCCCGGCCCAGUGGAAGCCCGCCGGCGCGUGCACAGACCCGCCGUGUACACCAACAAACACAAUGCACACAAGGUGUCUACUAAACAAGAAAUGAAUAUAUAAGUCCUAAAAAGGCUAUCAGAGCGAGUAUAAUAAAAUUACUAAGUUCUAGCAUAAAGGGAUCAACAAUAGAGAAACAAAAGUAUACAACUAAAUCCAGAAUCUAACAUAAAGCUCUAAACAAAUACAUAAUACAUCUUUCUCAAGAUACAAAAAGAAAAGAUGACAUCGGGUUCAUCUAAAAUAACUCCGUAGGGCUCUAGCUAGCUGCUAAUCCCUUGCCUCGAUCCCUAGCCACUCCCGAUGCGGAUGGCUCUGAAAAUAACCACAAAAUAGAGGGUGUGAGAACUAUCAAAAAUAGUUCCUAGUGGGCAAUUACUGAUCUCAACGAAAUGCUCCACUAGGCUAACAUAAGCAUGCUGUACACGUAAAUUAAUCAACAGAUAUGAAAGGUAGGUAUUUAAACAUGUUCAUCAUAGUCAUGCUUCUACUAAACAAAUACAAUAAUGUAUAUGAGGUUCUAAUGUCAUUUGAUCAACUAGAUAUCAAUGUCGGUUUACAAGCAUAAUCCAUUGUAUACUAAUUUUUAUGCAUGUCCACUAUGUUCAUUACAAUGAAGGAUGAUACUUUUCAUUACUAUUCUAACGAUACAAUAUGCCAAUCCACAAAGGUGUAAUCUACUACUACUAGGAUGUCAAUGCCAAGAAUGACUAACAUAAGCUCACAUUAUGCACUAUCAUGCAUAUCUACAAAUCCAACUAGGAUGCAAUGCACUCUCUAGUAGUAGUCUUCUCAUUACACUUUUGGUUUCAUAGUUCAAUUCUCGUCAUGGAUCUACAUAUGUGUAGUCCGGCUUGUGUCGUGCCAAAAAUGGCCCCGUGGUAGUCAAUAUCCCCACUCUAGGAAUAAACCUCCCCCGCGGCAUUUCAUUUUGGCGGCCGAAUCCCGCACGGACGAGCUUGUGUCGCGUAGGCUAUCUCCGGAGUGCCGGCUUGUAGGGAGCGACCCUCACAAGCAUGUGCAAAUGAGCACAAAGGCAAGUAAGUAUGAUCAAUAGCAUCCAGCUCUCGGUCAUCAUGUCUAAAACAUGGAAUAUGUAACACGACCCCAAAGGUCCAAGUAUAGUAUCAAGUGUCAAGGUUAUCAUUUACUAACCCGAAUGUCACUACAUGAUGUUUACAAUUACUAUGUCAAGUAAGAGUCUCUAGUUCAUAUUGACAUAACACAUGUCAUUAUCCUAUCUAGGAUAGUUCACUAUUGUUCAAGUCUCAAUGAAAGUUCACACUUAGUCUAUUCCUCUAUAGCUAAGGUAGUCACUUUCUUAUGGUGUAUGCAUAGUUACCACAAAUUAUUCACUCUCAUGAUGCAAGCCAUGCACAUAUAUCUUUCUACCCAUGCCUCCACCUUAUAGAGUAAUAACAAUCAUGCGAAUGCUCUCAUUCAAUAAUGCCACAUGCAUAUAUAUAUAUUCAACUAGAAUGAAUGUUCCAAACUUAGCUUCUUAUGGAUCUUAUAUGUACUAUGUCACCCUGUCACAACUACUUGUCUACAACAAGUGUGGUAUACCAUGCAAAUAUUUGCUAAGUCUCAUUCAUGCACAAGUCCAAGUCAUGUAGAUAUGCCAUUAAACUCAAGGUUAACACCUUGUUAAUUACUAGGUUUCAAAGCCCUAUUUCUUGUCUACACAAGUAUCUUGUUUAACAUGUAAGAUGAUCACUUACUAAACCCAUAAGUCGAGAUCCCCCAAGGGUCACACCGUCAAUCAAGCUCUAACAUGCUUUCUAAUGUUGUAUAAAAGAGAAUUCACCCACUAGAGCUAUCAUGCACAAGUUCACAUAAAAGCCUCUACUACAUAGAGCAUCAAUUAACUUUACAUAGCAUAUAUGAUGUGUUCUCAUAAAUUCUAGCAUGUCAUUUUGAGCAUGAAAAAGCAUUUAAUUGGAUCUUAAAACCAAAUAAGGGGUUUAGGGGGGAGUUCACCCAUUUCGAUGAGAUCAAACCCAUCAGAAACACUUCGAACUCUUUCGUUUCGCCGAACGAAGUUGUCCACUAUACUCCUAGCACCCUCAAGAUAGUAAAAAGGAGAGUUAAACGAACGCUACGAACAAUCCCCCUCCAAUUUCAAAAGGAGGUUAGGGCACUUCAAAUCUACCCCAACGAGUUAUUCUACACCUAUCAAUUCCAACUGAAAAGUCUCAAAUCAAGAAACCCCAAAAUAAACCCUAGUUUUUUCAAAACUAGGUUUCAUCUCAAAAACUCUACUAAAACAAGAUCUAAAGAGAAGAUCUAAGAUACUAACCUCUCAAGAAGCUCCAAUCUAAGCUUGGAAUGAGCUAAGGUUGAAGAUUGAUCCUCUAGAAAGUUCCUCUCCUCAAACCAAGGCUUCUCCAAAGGUGAGAGAGUCACCAAGAUGCAAAGGAAGCGAAGGAGGAAGAUCAAACUUCCAAAAAAAAAUCCCAACAAAAGAAAAGGAAAACUAUCGAAAAAAUGAAGAGGACUCACCUCUCCCCUUCUCUGGUCACAGCACAGGAACCCCUGUCCAAGGGGUGAGGGUGUAUAUAAGGUAUUACGACAAAAGCGAAAAGAUCCCUCAAAAACUGCCAGACUGCAGUUUACACUGUGUACCGGUACACGGGAAAGUGCAUCGGUACAAACCACUGUGCGCGCAAACCUAAGCCUCAGGUUGGCAGAAUAUCCCCAUUUGUACCGGUACAACCAUCGAGUUGUCACCGAUACACUUUCCGUACUGGUACAACCAUCAAGGUGUACCGGUACACAUCCCAGCAAAAUGCAACCCGAGAGCAGCCUAAGUCCAUCAUUUUGGUGACCUUAGCGCUAUUUAAAUACUACAAUUCUCGGGAUAUGAGCGAUAGGUCGAAACACGGUCGACGACCCUCCAGAAUACCUGGAAAAACUCAGAACACAGCUCAACACUCGAACCUUGCAAUUUGCUAAAGUCCAGUGUGUUACAAAGAAAUAUAGUAUAUCAAUUAUUGUUGCAAUACCGAAUAGAAUACUAUUACAACUUGGAAAAUUCAAGAACUAAAACAUUACAUAUCUUAUAGUUUGAAUCAGAAAUUGCAACUAAAUACGAAAGUGUAACAUGCAUCAUAAUUUGAGCCAUAAAUUAUAACAAAUUAAUGUUUGAGGACUAGGGUGUCACCCACUUCAUUGUUUGAGACUGAAAGUAUAAUUUAUCUAAUUAUAUAUUAAAAUUUAAAUUUUGAACAAUAACUUAUAAAAAUCAAAUAAUAAAUUUUUUAGUUUAGUUGAUUUUUGGAACUACUUAAUGUCUAAGUAGUAAUUUUUUUAAACUUAUACUUUUUGCAUAUAAGACUUCUAAAAAUAAGAUAUAUCAAAUUAAAUUUGAAUUCUAAAAUAUUGCAUAUCAAAUAUUUUUUGUAGUUCAUAUAUAUUAUAUAUAUAUAUAUAUAUAUAUAUAUAAUAUAUAUAUAUAUAAUAUAUAUACUGUAGUGUAUUAUUAUGUAUCGAGCUAGGCUGGUAUACUAUUGGUAGCACGGAGGCCUCCGUGCUACCAAGUUGUUAUCAAUGAUGCCGCUUCCAAAUUGGCGAUCGGCUCCAUUAGACUUAAUCUACACUAUUGAAAGUAUUUGAAAACUAAAUUUCAUAAUUUUUCGAUAUCAUUUACCCAUCAAACGAGUAGUCCAAAAAUAAAUGGCUGAAAAUAAAAAUCUCAUAAAAAAUGAUGAUAAAAGACUUGAAUUUAAGAUCAGAGGUAUUGAUCUUACUCUAAAUAGUAAAAAGAAUUUUCUAUAAAACUUUUAUCAGAUUUGGAUUGUUUUACACCGUUAAAUUCACAAAUGCAUCACAUCUGCUAUUAAAAUUGUCAAUUUUGAGACCUUUUGAUCACUAACCAAAUGAUGUCGAAAAAUUAUGAAAUUUAGUUUCCAAAUAUUUUUAAUAGUGUAGAUCAAGUCUAACGGAGCCGAUCAUUGAUUUGGAAGCCGCAUUAUUGAAAACAACUUGGUAGCACGAAGGCCUCCGUGCUACCGAUAGUAUACCAGCCUAGCUCUAUAUAUACAUAUAUAUAGAAGUACACCAGUUGCAUGCAGUAAUAUUUUUCAGAUGCUGACAACAUCGACGUUACUAUAUUUAGUAGUGGUCGGAGAAGUGUUACUAAAAUUAUUAUCUUCUCCAACGGUUGUAUAAACUAUCGGCAAAGAUUUUUAGCGACAGAGAUCUAACAACGAUUAUAAAACUUUUCCCGACGGUUUUACAAAUGUUGGAAAACAUUUUUCCAGCAGUUCUAGACACUUUUUCUAGCGGUUUUGACCACUUCUAAAACCUAAUUUUUUGUAGUGAUCGCGGUGUCCCUUUUUUAUUUUAUUUUUUUGUCCAAGGACGAGAGACAGAUGCGCAUUGGCAAGCGCACGCCGCGAGUCCCAGUACGAUGUGAGUUGGACACGGAUACAGUGUUGAAUUGUAUAGAGUCAUGUUUAGAAUCGAUACUACAGUAAAAAGUUGAAAGUUUGAAAUUUUUAAAUUUUAAGUAUCGGUGCUUGAAGUUUGAAUACCAGUACUAAAGAGUACCUAAAAAAUUCCUCAGUAGUUCCUCAUAACCAAAAGCGUCGAAAACCUAAUUUUUGUAUUGAGUAUCGGUAUUAAAGUUUUGGAAAAGUUUUAGUACCAGUACCCCAAGCUGAGUAUUGGUACUCAAUUUCACGUCGGAUUGGAUAUAUUAAAUUUGACUACAGUUUGAUCUAAUCUUGUUCCUUAAGAUUAGAGAAAGUCUAGAAAUACUUUGGGAAGGAUUUUUAAGAGGAUAUCGACAGAUAGAAAUAAAUCGGGGACUUAGAUAGAUGGCUUAGAUCGUUUUCUACUAAAAUUAAGGUUUUAGAGUUAUAAACUUUUGUAAUUCAUGUUUUAAAGUAUAGGAGAUUUCUCAAUAAGAGAGUUUUAUUGUAGAUACCCUAAUUUAGAGAAAAACAUUGUCACGCCCCGGGGUCCCCUUUUAGUUUGAAACACAGCGGAAAAGUGUUUAAAUUUUUUUUGAAAACCUGACCCCAGAGUAUGCUAGAUCCGCCACAAAUACAGGGAAUCCACCGUUCACACGGACAGAGUCUCCCCUGUAUUUGCACGGCGUCGCACAAGUACAAAAGUGCAAACAGUAUACAACCACGACUAAAUGAAUAUACAGAUAGCUAUACAUUCAUACAUUCACCAUUCACACCGUAGUUUUACAUUCGAUGUUUAAACAAAAGUCCACGAAAAACCUUUUGAAAACUGUUCCAUACGCGAAAACUUUUAUCUUUUAUAAAAGCUACCACGAGGGGUAGAAAACCUUUUAUUUUACCAAAUCCAGAAAUCCUUUUAUUACAUUCAUGAAAGUCCACAUAUUCCAAUGUAAUAAAAAUACUGAACCAUAUAAACUGACUAAGCUAUAACAACAGAAUAUGUAGGAUAAAACUAUCCGCGAUACGUCUGCGGUCAGAACUCUAUCGACCGCUACGAACGUACCCGACGUCUCGUCCCAAAACUCAAUGCCUGCAAUACCUGAAAAUGGUGGGGGAGGUGAGAACAUGUAAACAUUGUCUCCUCUCCCAGUGGGUACUGCAAGCCGAUGAAGGCGAGGAGUACUCACGCGAUCAGGAAGAGCUAAACAACAGUACGGGUCAGUAGAAAAUACAGUAGCAAUUUAUAUGAAUGAAGAGACAUAUUAUAUGAAAGAAAGUAACAACUACCGGCUACUGCAAUGAACAACUGAGUGUAUACAUGUAACACAGACUAUAGUACAAGACAAUGUAAGGAAAGAAUACAAGUAUGUAUGCAUCAACCACUACAUAGCUAUAUACCAACACCGGACAAGUAGUCCAACAGUACCCAAUCUAAACCCGCGUGUCGGUCUAGAGGAUCUCAGGCAAAAGCCACAACCUGCUCGGCACCUGGCAUGUAACUCUAGCCCAAAAGAGAACACCGCUGGGCUCACGGGUCGGAUGUACGACCACUUUUCCGGAAAAGAACACCCCCUGCGGUGGAUCAGAGCCGCGGUGUAGUGAAAUGCACGUCGAGCUGUGGCGAUCAAUGACAGAUACGACAAUAGCCAAACGUUGGCAACCAGCCGACAAUCACCGCCCCUCGGGGCAAACGACCAAUAGGUCAUCGAACUAUAUAGAAGCAGCAAGAACCGACUAUCAGGUCAACUAAGGGGGGAACCACUCAACAUCCUACGAAGGUAUACAGCACUGACUACUAAUGUCAACUAGCAUAUAUGCACGACAACGCAACGAAUAGGUCACCAAGAGUAUAUCAAUAGAAUCCGAAUUACCGUCGGCCACUAGCCAACAAUCAACCCCUCAGGGUACAUUCCGACCUCAUUAGGUCAUCAAACGACAGGACCUCACGAAGCUGACUGACUAGAUCACAAAUAUGCAAAUAGUGGAACUGUGUAAAACAAUAAUCAUCCCGUCGGUGCUAACCGACAAUCCCACGCCCUUAGGGUAUACCGACCUCAAGGGUCAUCAAACGAUGUACGAGAACGCGGCUAAUCAGGUACCGAAAUGAUAAGCGAGAACCGACCAACCAGGUCACAGAUACGGAAUGCAAUAUACCAACCAACUAGAUCAAACAGAUACGCAUAUUAGAUAGAACUGCUGCUACUCCUACUCGAAUACUAACAUGCAAACAACGAGUAGAGUAUAACGAUAAACAAGGGUGCAAAGGCUCAAUAUACUAUGGAUAGUAAUAAACUAGAAGAGUAAGGGUAAGAAACCAUCACCAAGCGUGCACUACUGUACCGACUCGGAUCGAGACCCCUGUACAACUGCGCCUGUCUCCUGACUGCAAAAGACGUCAACGGCACCUAAGGAGGUCACCGGGUUAGUGUCCUAACCCACAGCUAAUAACCACUAAAUCCACAACCUACAGCAAACCCAUGGGAGAUCGGUUUCCCAACGCGAUCGCCGUAAUACGCCGGAAGUCCCGUAAUCGCACGGGGACUCCGUCGGGAGCCACGAACUGUCCCGCGAACAUACCGACUCGAGCUACGAGUCACCUGCUGCCACUAAACAUAAUAUUCGUGCAUCAUGGCAGCGAACACAACUCCUCGUGUCGAAACAAUUAUCGUCGAUAAUCGUUUCGAUUCGGGUUCCCGGAAGUGUCUAAUUCGACACCGGAACCCGCACCGUCGCUCACACACCGUCAUUUCCGAACUCUUCGAAAUGACGCAAGUGACCAGCCAACACAGCUCAGCGACUACGCAAAAGCUCACGAAGCACGUUGGAAUAAUUCCGACCAAAACCGCGUUCCGUCAGCGGAUUUUGCGACAAACGCCCGAAAAUACAUUUUCGAGCUAUCGCAACAGGUGCCGGGGCCUUGGACAAUCAGUCCAGAGAUCACCCUCAGCCCAAACAUGCUGCCAACAGCAUCUACAACGAAGCAGAAAUCCUCAAAGCCCAUACCGAUACAUGAAAUCGCAUCAUUUCAUGUGAUUUCUAGGCUUUUCUGGACCGUGCACGCAAACCAGAGGUCGAUUAAUCCGACCGUCACACUCACUGACAGGUUUCAGCAUGUCGAAGGCCGUGCUCACCUUUCGGAGCACUGCCAGCCACUGCGGUGCGCGCACGAGCGACGCGAAGUUCUGUUAAACUGCGCGCACAGCGCGAAGUUCGCGACUAACUCACUAACCAGGGCAUCUUUGCCGCUGUCGGAGGUGAGCACGAUGUUCAGCACGAGGUAAGGAUCAUCGUGCUCACUUCCCGGAUUAUUGGAGUGUCCUCGGACCACCAGAAAGGUGACCGGAACCCUAAACUACAGUGCUAGAACAUACAACAAUAGCAUACCGGAGUGCAGGGAGCUAGGGUUGGCCGCCGGCUGGCGGGAGGCGGGCCGUCCGGCCGGAGGAGGGAGCAGUCGGUCCGCGAGGUCCGGGGAGGGUGCUGGCCGGCGACGGGCGGCAACCGAUGGCGGGGCGGCUGAGAUCCACUCCCCCAACUCCCUCUCGGGUUCGAGCUUCCCGGCGGCGCGGCGGCGGCCGGAGGAGGUCGGGGUGGCUACGGUGCGGCGCCGGAGGCCGAGGGGAAGGCGAUGCACCCCACGGUGGGCGGCGGCGGCGCUUGGAAGCCGAGCGGGCCCGACCUCGGCCCGCACGUGUCUGGGCGGCCACAGGAGGUUCCAGCGGCGGCCGGCGGCGUGCGGGGACGGCGGGGGACGGGCGCGCCGGGUUGCCGGAGGUCGCCGGAGCCGACUGGAGGGCGGCACGGCCGAAGUAAGGCGUGGACGCAGAGUUCGAGCUGGCUCGGUCUGGGUUGACCCGAGUUGGCCGCAGGGAGCAGGGGUGGAUCCGGCGGCGCUCGGGGGUGGCCGGGGCCGGCGGGGGAGGACGCCGGAGAUGGGCCUCGGCCAGAGGAUGAUGCUCCAAGGGUGAAAGAAGCUUCCUUCGCAACUUCGGCGAAGUCGGAGGAGAGGGUGGCCGAGAGAGCAAGAGAAGAGGUCGGGGUGGCUUUUCCGGUGGCCGGGGCAGCUCGCCGGCGGCCGGGGCGUGCGCACGGGUUGGGCAGGGAGAAGGUGGGGCGGCUAGGGCUCGGUUCGGCUGAGGAGAAGGCCAAAAGCUAGGGUUUUCUCACGAAACCCUAGUGUAACUACUAUUUACAUAUGCACAUUUGCAAGAUAGUCCUCCCAGGGAUAAUAUUCUCAGUCAAGUCCCUCACAGCAUGCGUAUUUUACACAUACGCACCUCCAUGUCUGAUCUCACGCAAUUCGGCACAUAAAAUAUAGGGUCUCUUCGCGAUUUAUCCGUUUUGCCACUUUGACCCCUCAGCGAAAAUCUCGUAAUUCCCGGAGAUCCGUCCGUCGAAUUUUCGAUCCGACAGCACCAUUGCGUUCAGCACGUCGGGGGCAUCAAAACUACAAUGUUGAUUCAUCCGAUUUGGUCACGGAUUCGCGACGGAACCCAUCCGCUCUCUAAUUAAUCCAUAAAUUACACAUAUACCAAUGUGUAAACCCAACAAAACCCAUUUCGCAUCAGAAAUGGACUUCCCUACUACAAGUAGGGACCCAAAACAACCUUCACCCUACUCCAGGUCGUAAGCACGAAACACAAGGAGUUUCACAAUGCACGAAAGGCAAGGAACGAAAAUCAUCUUUUUGAUAAAACUCCUUUUUCUCGAAAACCAUGCAUCAGAUCUGAAAUCCGUCAGUGCCAUUGGUUCCAAAACAGCUGAACCGAUCGAAACGAGCUAUUGGACUGAUAUGAACGGAGUCCGAUAAGCGCCAGAAGCCAACUCUACUCUGUGGCUUCUCCGGAAAACCGGAGUUACUAUUCACUUAAGUGAAAACUAAAAGUCGCGUAUCUUCUCCAUUUUAGCUCAUUUUCGCCCGAAACUUGACGAGUGCUUAUGUAAUUAAAUUACACACNAGCCAACUCUACUCUGUGGCUUCUCCGGAAAACCGGAGUUACUAUUCACUUAAGUGAAAACUAAAAGUCGCGUAUCUUCUCCAUUUUAGCUCAUUUUCGCCCGAAACUUGACGAGUGCUUAUGUAAUUAAAUUACACACAUAAACAUCAUUAACAGAGAGUUUAGUAGCACUGUCAAAAAUCUCAGUCCUUACAAACAUGAAAAGCUCACGAGAAAGAGUUUUUGUUAUCCAAUAUAAUUCUUGUAAUUCUGUGUCGAGAGUUAUUCAAGAACACAUUGAGCCAAUCUUGCCUGUAGAAGUAGGCCGACACAUUAUUGGUUGAACCACGUAAAUCCUGUUGCUACAAGCCGAAUUCUCCAACCGUUGACCCGAUCAAAGAUCUCCUUUGGGGUGUGUGCAAGGAAUUAAUACGGCUUCACGUGAUGACCCUCGAAGUUUGCGCCCUUCGACUGAUUAAGCGAUUCGGCUGAUGAGGGAUCAGAUCAGCCGAGUUUGAAACCUUCUACUACAGAAUCGGUCCGGCUGAAUGAGCCGAAUAGGAUAUUACACAGUGUUUUGGGUCGGCUGAUGAGUCGAAUGGCCUUUAUAUAUAUUAAAACUUUAAGUCGGAAACUCGUACAAAAGAGAGUGUGCCUGUAAGGCAUACAGACUCUAGAAAUCUAACUUAAAGACUACUCCUAGAAAAUGUAGUAAAUGCAGGAAAAGAAAGAUUACAGAUAGGCUACUCCUAGAAAAGCAAGAAAAAUGCGUGGAAAUAGAAAAGUGGUCUUCUGUUCGCUGGAAAAAGACCCCUCUUCCAGGCGUUACUCACCUAUUUAUAUUACGCGCAUUGUUAUUCAGUUAUGUACACGAUCGGCCACUUCCCUAAUUUCGUGGGCCACUACAAGCCGAUCCUAACCGCUCAAACUGCUUGCGGUCAUACUGUGAUUUACUUUGUGCUCCUGGCGCACCACAUGUCAAGUUCUAGAAUCCCUGGCGAGCCGAGCGCCAAUUUUCUACGUGGCAUUUUUUAUUGGCGUUAACAAUUGCCCUCUCGGCAGCUCCCGAACAGACGGUUUAGUAGCUAACAUAAUCUCUUCCAAAGGCACGAAUUUCGAAAUCAUUAUUUCGAAUUGCCUUGUACUGUCUUUCUCUCAGCCGUCCUUUAACCUUUGACGGCCACGAUCUCCCACACAUUCCUUUUUGUCUCUUAUGCGGCAUUUAUUAAGUCAUUUAUUGCUGCCAUCUCGUCAUCAUUAAAGACGUUUUUGAAAUUCCAUCUGAUGGCUUCUUUUCCCUUUUUCACUUUUCUUGCCUUAUUCUUCUCCAAGCUUUUUUUUUUUCUUCGUCCUCGCCUGAUAAUUUCCUCUUCUUCUUUUUCGCCUUCUACUUUUACGGUUUCAACCUCAUCCUUUGAUUCUCUCCGAGAUGGCGUCACUUCCUCCUCUUCCUUCAUCUUCUUCUCUGGAUUAUACUCUCCUUUGCCAAUUCAUCGAAACAGAUCCUACUCGAUUCAUAUUAGGACCUUCAUUCAUAGACGAUCCUAUUCCUGAGGACUUCCCCUUUUCGAUUGAAGGUCUUCCUUUACUGGCUGAUGCCAUUCAUCUAUCUUCUUGGUAUGUUUCGACGACUUCGAAAUCAUUUGGGAAGAGUCUUCGAACUUGGCUGAGUGUUUCAGAAGUUUAUCUCGCCUGAUUAGAUCGUGUCGAGGCGAUGUAUGCCGAUCUCUGGCGUGAGGUUGGGAUUUACGAAGUUAUUCAGCUUUCCAGAACCGCUUCUAUAGCCGAUAACCUUCUUCUGGCUGCGGCCCUCUGUUUUUGGUCCCUUGUUUCCAAUAUCUUUCUUUUUAGAGCAGGACCUUUUACUCCUACUCUUCUUGAUGUAGCGGCGAUUGUUGGUCUACACCCUCACGGCAUUACUCUUUCGAUUGCUUAUAACCCUGAUGGCGUAACUAAUUUCGAGGCUCAUCUUAAUCUAGCCGAUCUGGCUUAUACUAAAUUUAUUCACCGGUUUGCAGGUCAAUUGCCCGCUUCUGUCACUAAGAAGGAACACACAGCCUUCCUUUUUUACUGGUUAUGUCAUAAUCGCUUCUAUACUCAUUCACAGAUGAUCAAUCGUGAUUUCGUUCCAAUUGCCAUUACUCUAGCCAACGGCGAAAGACUAGCUUUAGGCACCUAUUUCUUUCUUUUGUUUAUAGAGAGAUUUUUGAAUCUAUCACACCAUUGCCAUCAGGCGGCGUAGUUAUUAGUUCUGGAUGUGGUGUUUUGUGGUUCCUGCAGAUGUGUCUGCAAAUUUAUUUUCCUUACUUGUGCCGAACUCUCCUAAAUUUGGAUUCAGCUUCCAAUUUUGACACUUUUGGCCCAGCCCUUGAUUGUCCUGAACCAUUGACCCCAGGUCAACCGCUCGAUUUUUCUCAUUAUUUUAAAAUAUUUUAUGAGAAAAACUUUUGACUUUAUAUCAUCUAGUCCCUAUUUGGAGAACGUACUACAGGUUUGUCUUGGCUACUUGAUUUGAGGCUAUCCAAGAUCAGCUAGCCUCUUCUCGAGCCAGCGAAUAUGCCGACGUGUGGUUUUCCAUUUUAGCCACCAGAGAUUUGCAUGUCAGUUUAAAGAACCGUUCUAAAUUGACGCCAAGCAAAGAGGUGUACUCUCCUCAUUAUGUUGCGCGUCAAUUUGGUUUUGUCCAAGGACUUCCAGCUCCAGCUAAAUUCUUCACGGCCAACACUACUCGCGGCCGUCCUCCUACAAAGAGUGCAGCCGAAGUCGAUCAUAUUUCGGCUUUGGAAAAUCAUCUUCGACAAUUUUUUAAACUUGUGAGUUUCUGACCCAACCAUGCAGGAGUACUAGACUUUCGCUUCACCCGGGGCUGGGAAGCUUUUUGUCAACAACAUUUUCACUCCCUUAUGACCCCUGUUUUCGCCAAGAUUUUUCAUACAGAGGGUAUGUUACCUUUUGACUAAUACAAUUUUAUCCUCAUAUCUUUCCUUCCUUAAUUUUCCUUUAUUUUGUUUUGGCCUUUCAGGUAAAGGCCUUUACCUAUUCCUCCAGAAGAUGUUUCUGGUGAAAAUUCAGACAAAGACCCUAAGGAUUCGUCUUAUCCACCUACGGUAAACUUCACCUCUUACUGUAUUUGCUUCUUCUAUGCAACUAUUUUAUCUAAUAUGUCUUGUUUCAGCCGAUUCCUGCCUCUUGCCUCAUCGGCCCCACGUCGCGAUAAACGGCCGAUGGAGUCCGAGCAGUUGACUCAACCGCCGCAAUAGAAGCGACACAAAACUGUUGCUAUUAAAAUCCAUUCUGCCUCUCCGCCGGCACCUACUGAGGGAUUUCCGGCAAAAACUCCAUCGACUGAUAUCCCAGCCGAGGAAAAAGAGCUGGUCUAAUCGACCCCCGUCGAUCCAACUUCUACUGAGGUAACUCCUCAACCUAUUCUGAUUGAUUUUUCUUCUUAUCCUUCCUCAGCCGAAUCACCUCCACUAUCCUCUUCAAGCAAAUAGAUCCCGUCACGAAGGGUUUCCCACGCUCGCUUCACCUCAUCUUUGGAGCGAGUAAUGUCUGAUAUUGGGCGACAGGCCUGCCGUGAAGCUCGCCUUGACAAAGAACAUGAAGCAAAGAGAAGGCAAGAGUACGUAGAAAAGAUAGCUGAAGGGGAUAAAAUUAAAGAAAAGAAGAAGAAAAGCAAUCAAGUAGAGGAAGAAGGCGAAAAAUAUAAAGAGAGUGCCAAGAAUGAGAGAGAAGAACUUAGACAAAAGGAGGGAGAAGCAGAGGAAGCAGAACAGAGGACUGAAAUAGAAAUAAAGAAACAAGAAAAAGAACAGGGGAGAGAUAGUACUCGAGUGACGGUGGAUGUAAACAUUCUCGUUAAUAUUGUCCCGAUUGAGGUUUCUGCAUCAGCUACUGCAUCAACUUCUUUACCGGUAUCUGAUCCGGUGGAUCCCUUGGCCAUUUCUCUUCAAGAUUUGGCCGCCUUGAGUCUAAAAUCAAAUGAAGAAGAAAAAGACCACUCUACCACUACUUCAGUUGAAACUCAGCACAAAAUGGAUGAAUGUUUAAGAUUACAUAGUAGUGGUCUCCCCUCUUUGGCUCGGAACACAGAGCAAUUUGAACGGGUUGGAGCUCUUCUUCUUGAUCUUAUAGACCAGCCGGACAUUUCUCCCAUAGGUAAAUUCUUUACGGAAACUUUAUCAUCUCAACUCUCUUAUUUUUUGACUCGGCAACGAACUCUUUUUGCCGAGUUCUUAUCUUUGGAUCACCACUUCAACCGGAUUAACCAUUUCAAGUCGAAAAUUUCUGAAGUGGCAAUUCCAAUUACUGAUUUGGGUCAACAAGAUAAUUAUCUAGAAAACCAAGAAUCGGCUCUUCGGCAGCAUAUCUCCAAUUAGUAUACGGCCAUGUAUGAGAUUCCAAUUACUGAUUUGGGUCAACAAGAUAAUUUAAACUUUAAAUUAUUAAGUUGCAAUAGUUUAGUUUCUAAUAUUUACUCUGAUGCUUUAUUGUACUCCAUCAUGUAUGGGAUUGUAUAGGUUAAUGUAUGAUUCGAUUCACUUAGGUAGGGGAAGCCUUGCCUAUUCAGCGGGCCUGUUGCACGUUACCAAGCGGGCCCAAUUAGCGGUCUUGGGGUAUGUUAGGCAGGACUCGAGGCGCGACAACAAAGUAUUGAAGUUUUAAUUACUUAUUACAUUCCGAUCAUGUUGACAAUAGGAGGUAAGGUCCAAUAGAGGGCUAGCCUUUAGACCUUACCAAGUUGCAAAUCUCGAGUUGCCGAGGUGCGACUCUCAGGUAGCCUGUAGGACUUCACCGAUGUGAGGUGAGGUUAAGGAAAACUCAAGUAAACCAACAUAUAAAAAGCAAAGAAGGUAGACCGAACCAAGUAGCCAAGACCGUGCACGUCGCCGCAGCCCGCCUGGCUACGCUUGUUCUCAUUAUCACCCAAGCAACAAGCUUCAAGAUGAUAGAGUAAAUAAGGCACUAUUACAUGUCAUGAGUUUUUGAUGUGGGAUUAACUUACAUGUAAUAAGUUAUGGAUGGGUUCCCAGGUAAAGCCCGUUUGAUAUUGGGCCACCUAGGAAGCCCAUGGGCCAAAGGAAAGUUUUAAAUCACAUUUUAAAUAAAUAAAUGCGAACAUUCCCCUACAUGAUUUAAAACUUCAUAUAAAGAAGUAAUUAAAACAAAAGAACAAAAUAACUUAGAAAUAUGCUAGAUCUCUUAUACCAAAUAUCCAGCGAAAGUAUCUUUUGGGUUUGAACCUUCACUUAAUGCUUGUCUCAUUUGAACCUUCACUUAGUGCUUGUCUAGGCACAAUAGUGGACUACACCUUGAACCAAGGCUAGUGAAUCAGAUUUCCAUAAACCGCACACCAUGGUAUAGGUGUUUAGCUUUAAUGUGGGUGAGCGCUUUUGUGGUCGUGCACUUAUAUUGCUUCAUAUGCGUUUUAGGGAAACGCUUUCUUCCCAUAGUCGCGACCUCACGACUCCACACACAUAAUAGGUCCUUAAAAGGUGUCUACAAGAUCACACCCUGCCUCAUAGGUCUCGGAACCAUUAAGGGCAAAUUUGUUUCCUAUCCAUUUGCAGAUAUGAGCACUAUCGCCAUAUGGAUAAGAACAAAAAAGUUAGUGCUCCUCACAACUACAUGUUCGACUUGUUUCUUUCUAUUGAACCUGCAAGAGGUUGGAUUGUUGUCGUCGGUAACUUCUAUUAUGGGCUAAGCCCCAUCCCUCUCAAAGAUUAUAGGAUCACAGUUCUAAGUAAUCCCUUAGCAAGCUGCUCAGCUAAAUUCUUUACAGAUCUCACAAACUCCAAUGUAAUUACAUUCUCCUUUAUAUUCUACCAAAUAAAUUUAUGUCUUACUUUCAUAAAUCUAUUUAUUUUAGUAUCCACAUUCUCUUGGGUACAUUUAUCAAUUGUAGAUCUACAAUUACAAUAAAUGCAUACUGGUGCUACAAGUUGCUCCAUCAGUGGCAAAUCAUAAAGAAUUUUUCUAAUCCACUUAGCCUCUCCUAGAAUAUUAUCUAAAACUAUGAGUUCAAAUUCUAUAGUACUCCUAGUAAUCAAAAAUUGUUUAGUUGACUUCCAAAAGAAAGCUGCUCCUUCUAAGAGAAAUAAAUCCAGUAUUAAACUUUACAUCAGCUGCAUCACUAAUCUAAUUAGCAUCACUACAAUUCUAAUAUUGUAGGGAAACCACUGUAAUGCAAUUUAUAAGAAACAAUACCAUUAUGGUUUCUCAAAACUCUUUCAAAGGUAUUCCAAUGCUUUCUAUUUGGAUAAUUAGUAUAUCUUCUCAGUCAGUUUACAGUAUAAGCCAAAUAUAGUCUAGUAUAAUCUAUCAAAUAUCUUAAAGAUCCUAUAAUCUAUUCAUAUCUAUUUUGACCUAUUAGAUCUCCUCUAUUCUUCUUAACGUGGACAUUAGAAUCAUAUGAUGUCACUACAGAUUUAACAUCAAAAUAUGCAAACUUCUUUAAUAAUUAUUCACUACAAUGAGAUUGACUCAUAAUAAUUUCAUUCAAUUUUUUAAUUAUCUUCAUGUUGAGAAUUACAUCUGCUUGCCCAAGUUCUUUCAUAUCAAAAUUUUUAUUAAGUAGCUUCUUCACUUCACAUUUAUAUUAGUACCAAAUAUUAAAAUAUCGUCAACAUAUAAAUAUAAGAUUACCAUCAAUCCAUCAUAUUUCUUUGAAUACACACAUUCAUCAGACAUAUUCAUAUGAAAACCAUUGGACACAACUAAAGAAGCAAAUUUCAAGUGCCACUAUUUAGAAGCUUGCUUUAGUCCAUAUAGAGAUCCAGUUAAUUUGCACGCUUUACUCAUAGGGAUAAUUGCCUAUAUACCCCUCAUACGUUUGAAAAUAUCCGAUUUACCCCUACUUUUUUUUUCUUUCUAAAAUACCCCUCAUAUGUUCCACCGUUAUUACAAAAUACCCCUGCAAUUAUCUCAUGUUAAGUUAACUUGGGUUAAACGUGAGUUAAAUAUCUACCGCAGUUAAAAAUAAUUAAAAUGCCAAUUUUGCCCUUAACUUAAGGGUAAAUAAGAAAUGUUGGUGACAAUAGAGGGGUAUAUUAGAAAAGACCAAAAGUCAAAAUACUUUUUUUGCCCCUGACUUUAAGGGCAAAUAAGAAAGUCACUGAUGAUGGAAGGGUAUAUUUGAAAGGACAAAAUAGUAAUUUUACAGAGAUAACAGAGUUAAUUAACAGAUUUUAACUCUAGGGGUAUAUUAGAAAUCGGUUGGAACGUAGAAAGGAUAUUUUCAAUAUUAGCCUUCUAAGAGGGGUAAAUUAGAAAGUCGAAAACUUUUUAGGGGUAUAUAAGCAUUUGCCCCUUACUCAUAUCUCCAGCAACUAUAUAUAAAACCUUCCGGUUGCUUCAUAUAGAUCUCUUCAUCUAAAUCACCAUUUAGAAAUGUUGUUUUAAUAUCCAUUUUAUGAACUAUCAAAGUACAGACAGAAGAAAAGGCAAUUAAUACUUUAACAGAAGUAAUCCUAGCAAUAUGUGCAUACACAUCAAAGUAAUCUAUACCAGGCUAAGAGCAUCAAGGAGAAACGUUAGGCCAUGUUUUAAAAUAUUUUGAAUUACAGACUUUAAAUGACUAUUUAUAAACGCAUGCAAGAAUUACUAACAAAGUAUUAUAAAGACGAAAUUUCAGAUGAGGAUUGUGAGUCGAGGCGUGUUAGGUACUGUCCUAGAAGUGAGAUUAUCCCUCUAUGUAUAAGGCUCCGGCAAUCACCACUAGCGAUACAACGACCACGAUCAGAGUAGUGCAGUUUGAACCACAUAAACUUUCAGGGAUCGAGCAUGUAAAGGAAGAAGAGGCAGAAAGCUUAGAGUACUAGUAAAAGAAGAAGAAGAAGAAGCAAUAGAAAUAGUAGCAAUUCAGAAAGAGAACUGUACUUUAUCUCUUCUAUGCCCUCUCCUCUCUUAUAUACAGAUAGGAGCCAAUGAGAUAUGCCGCUAUUUGCUUCCAAUGGGAGGUAAGGUCCAAUGGAUUAGCCGUCUCGGUCUAGUGUCAGACCUUACUGAGGUGCAGUUCUCGGGUUGCCGAUGUGUGAUUCUUGGGUAGCCCGUAGGACUUUACCAACACGAGUUGAGGUUUAAGUUUAGGAAAACUCAGGUAAACCAAAAAAAUAAAAAAUAAAGAAGGUGGACCAAAUCAUGCAGCCAAGACCUCGCGUUCCGCCGCCCGUGCUCAUGCCGUGUGCGCAUGCGUUUGUUUUACGGAUGGCACGACUCUCAUUAAUUAUCACCUAAGCAACUAGCUUGAAGAUGAUAGAGUAAGUAAGGCACUAUUACAUGUUAUGAGUUUCCAAUGUAGGACUAUACUCACAUAUAGUAAGUUAUGCACGGGCUCCCAGGUAAAGCCUCUUUGUUGUCGGGCCACCCAAGAAGUCCAUGGACCAAAAGAAUGUUUUAAAUCACAUUUUAAAUAAAUAAAUGGUAACAAAACAUAAUAAAACCUAGAUAACUAUGUGAACUUGAACCAGAGAAUAAGUAAACUUGCGAACAAACUUAGUGGCUAACCUUUGUGAUCCAUGAAACUUAGAGUGUAAAUUAAGAUGUAAGUCGCGAUCUUUCGGAUGUGUCAUUAUAGGAGAAGCUCGAUUACCCUCGACUUCCUAUGCUGUAAAUCUUGGAAGAAGUCCACAUAUCCAAGAUUCCCUAAGCCAUAAAUCUUGGAAGAAGCUUGAUUACCUUCGACUCUCUAUGCCAUAUUUGGGAAUGCUUAUUGCCUUCGAUUCCAAGUGCCUAUUGAUUAGAGAGAUUGAAGGUCGAUUGCCCUCACGGCUCUCCAUGAGGUGUUUAUUAUGGAAAUAAAACCAAAUUAGAGAGUUGGUUAGAGAUAUAAAAUGAUUUACGAUAAUUUUAUAGGCCAAUGAGGUAUUUAUUACGAAAAGGAGACGAGAGGAACAGGGUUGGAAAAAUGCUGUUCUAGGGUUGGGUAGGAAUUGUUAUUCUCACCUCUUAACGGGUUAUCCCAAAAUAAUCCAUUAAGGUGGGAACAAUAGUUGUCACCUUAACUAUUUUUUGUUUGGGCAUAAAGGGUGGGAAAACCCCUUCCCCCAUCCCUUAUACCCAACUAAACAGAGACUUUGUACUUUCCCUUUUGAAUCUCUAUUGAAGUAGUAAUAAUUUCAUUUACGACUAUUACUCUACUAAUGUCUCUUUUGAAUUGAGUGAGUGUAGUUGCAUCUAUUAAAAAUUUAUUUCAAAUUUUCUCUCCAUUAUUGUUGUUGCUCUUCAGAACCAUUCUUCACCGGCGGGGUGUGUGAUCAUGGUAAGGACGUCGCGAGUAAGCUAGAUAUAUUGUUUACGGAUCGGUUAGGAGAGAAUAAUUUUUUUUGUUUAAGUAAGAGAGAAGUAAUAUUUUGGGUUUAAACGAAGUAUACUGAGAGAUAUUGGAAUGUAAUAGUUUUAAAUUUGUGGUUUAUUUAUUCUGAUACCUUUUUAUCCUUAUAAUAGGUUGGAAUAUAUUUCCGCUUCGUAUAAGGUUAAAAAAAAGUUUAUUUAUUCGGCAGGUAUGUCACGAAGCGAUUCGCGGGUUUUGGAAACGAGACAAUCUCAGUGUCAGCGAUGCUUU